This 55781-nucleotide long non-coding RNA is filed under the name Hordeum vulgare. RNAcentral describes it as "long non-coding RNA (HVUL_LNC011207)". The record is from RNAcentral. Lineage: Eukaryota; Viridiplantae; Streptophyta; Magnoliopsida; Poales; Poaceae.
CCGCCAACAGCCUUCUUCUUCUUCGACUUCAUCUUCUUCUUAACCGGGGUCGGGCGGGAAGCGGAGCAGCAGGCAGGGCAUCUGGGGACACGUGCCUAGAAGGCCCGUCGUCCCGGCACCAGUCCGCACCCGUCGCCCGAGAGGAGCGCCAGUCAGCCCGACGUCCAUCAUCACCGCGCCGCAUUGGCGGCCCGCCCCACCGCUCCCCCGGGCGGUGGUCCUGGCGAUCACGGGGCGGCCCGCCCCACCGCUCCCCAGGAAGGCGCCGCGGGGCGGUGAGCGAGGUCCCGAGCCGGGGGGUAGCGGGGCGCUGGCUCCUCACACGGCUGAGAUGCCGGAGUGGGGCGAGCAACCAACUCUGCACACAGAGUCGCUUCCCGGUCCAGGUCGGCCGCGCGGGCGGCCUCCAGGCGGCGACGGUCCCCCGGCGAACCCGGCAACGGCAGGCGGGGAUCCCUCUCCGGAUCACGAGGGGGAGGCGGACGGCGAAGGGAGGUCCCGGAGUAGUACUCCGGGGACUUCCCCGGCCGGGCAGACCCACCGCGCCCGGAACGGGACGAGGCAGCACCCCCUUCCAUGGCACGGUCACGGGCGGCGGGCAGCGCCUUCAACACCGCGCGAGCCUGGUCACGAGAGGUUGGCGUAGGGAGGAGCCCCUGCCCAGCCGGGAGAGGCCGCUUCGGUCGGGCCUGGCCGUUCCCGGCGUGGCGUGUCAUGAGCACGUCCCGGUAGGAGCGCCGUGGGGAGGGGAUGGGGAGCAGGUCCGGGCGCCGGGCAGCAGACGAGGGCGCGUCGCCGGCAGUGCAGGCGAGGACGGACGAGGUGGAGGGAGCUCUAUGGCUGACGGGACGGGGCGAGCGGGGCCUGGGGAACGGCCGGCGGGACGGGGCGAGCAGGGCCUGGGGAACGGCGGGGACGUCCGCGCCCGACGGGAGAGAGCGAGAGGAAAGGGAGCGGGAGCCCGACCGGAGAGAGCGAGAGAAACGGGAGCGGGACGGGGCGAGGCUGCGAGGUGGCGGUGGCGCACGCUCGGCAGGGUAAACCCUAUCCCCGAGCCGGUCCUCCCGACGCAGGCCUGGGCCGGGACGCGAGCAUGGGGGAGGCCCAGGUGGGCAUCGGCCCACUGCCGGUUAACCUUCUCCAGGACUCGGGAGACGCGGCGGGAGGCCCAGGCCAUCUCGCUAGCUGAGAUGGGCCCAGGCCCCGUUCGCAGCGGCCCAUGGGGAGAGCCGGCCCAUCCGUCCGCCAGCCGGCCAGGGGAGUUAGGGCAUGGGGGAGGGGACUGACGAGGCACUCGGGCACCUCCCGCUGCCGCCGGCACCGCCGCCGCCGCCACAGGAGGCAGGGCACCAGCGCCUGGUCGGGGCUCGCGGGGGCCCUCUCCGGCGACCGCCAUGGGGGACAACCCAGGCAGCAAACCGGCUCGGGCCAAGGAGGGGAGAGGGGGAACCACAGGGGGACAGUGCACCGGCGACCGCCGCCCGACCUCCUUCCCCGGCCGCCGGCGGGCAGGGCGCGCCGCAGCCAGGAACGAGCCGAGCAGCGGCGGUGCCAGGGACACCGGCAGCUCCAACCGGUCAUCACCAUCCGAAGAGGCCUCCAUGUCAUCGGGGUCGGGAUCGUCCGUCCAGUCCGCCCAACGUCGCGGCGACCGUUGGAAGCAGAGGGAGGGCGCCCCCGGCGGGGGAAGCGGGGGCAUCGCGCUCACGCAGCACGCCGGCCGACCGCCGUCAGCGGGCACCGCGCAGCUUCAGGUCUCGGCCCGCCGGAGAGGAGCCGCCCAUCGCUUCUUCUCUUCAGGAAUCUAGUCGCCGGCCCACAAGUGGGGUGAUGAACAAGCUAAUGCGAUUUAAAGUAAUCAUACCUCGUCCUAAGAAAUUAAAAGUGAAUUCAUACUGUGCAGCUAGAAAAAGAAUCAUAAAAGUAUACAAGCGCAUGUGAAAAGAAAAAGAUGAACAACUUGCCACUUCAUAUAGGUGAUCUAAUUAACUAAUUUAGGGUUCGAAUAACUUUGUUUCCCCACAAUCAUGACAAAGUGAACCUUUUGUUGAAAGCCGGAAUUCUGCAAUAAAGCUGCAAUGGUAGAUCUAUUUUUAUCAGGGAAUCUACCAUGCUGAGCUGCUGCACACAAGGCGUUCUCACUCACGAGUCGCAAAAAAGAGUUGGUGAGUUAUUAAAAAAGAAGACAAAGAGGACGAGUGAGUUGCACCAAAAUUAAAUACUUCCUUCAUUUCAAAAUAAAUGUCUCAAUUUUAUACUACCUCUAGUAUAAGAGCAUGGUUAAUAGUAUAGUCAACUGCUGGCUAUAAGCUAUCUUAUAGCCUAUCUUAUAGCUAGCUUGUACAAUAGUUAGCUAUAAAAGAGUACUACUUUUAUUCUAUAUGGCCCACCUUUCAUUUUCACAAAGCACCUACGAGCACGUGCUAGAGCUGGCUCUUUACGAAGAGCCCGCUUCCCUUCUCACUCCUAUUCUCUCUCAUCCAACUCAGCAAAAAUACAGUAUUUUAAUCCUUACAGCCUGCUGACUGUACCUUAUUGUACUUGCUCUAAAGUUGUACUCCCUCCGUUCCAAAAUAUAAGACCUUUUAGAGAUUUAUUAGAAGACUACAUACGAAGCAAAAUGAGUGAAUCUAUACUCUAAAAUAUGUCUAUGUACAUCCGUAUGUAGUUCAUAGUGCAAUCUUUAAAAUGUCUUAUAUUUAGGAACGGAGGGAGUAUUAAGUUUGAGGCGGUUAUAUUGAGACGGAGAGAGUACUAGAUAUACGUAAUCUGAAAUAGUGGAGUACCAAAAUUAUAGGCCUCUAUGAUUAGGAGGAUUUUCAUAAAACAUUUGGAAAGUUGUGAUACUUGAGAAUUUUUCCUUUAUCGCUUAUCUGAUUCGUAGAUUGACUCCUAUAGGAUUUUCUCCUAUGGAUUCCCUUUGACUGCACAUUUCAUGAAAAAAAACAUUAGUUUGCCAUGAUAAUUUUUCACCAGGAUGCACAAAAAAUGAACUAGUUCUGAAAGGUUUAUUGGCUUCAUUUGGAUUUACUUAGAAUCAGCUCAUAUUAGCAAUAAUUAAAGAUGGCCGAACGAUGGCGCCGUCUCCCUCCCGACCCGGGGCCGCAUGCAGCCCCUCUCCCUCUGCCCCCCUCCUCCUGUCGGUGCCCUCGGAUCUGGUCCGGGUGGUGUUGGCGGUGGCGGGAUCUCCAUUACCUGUGCGCGGACGUCCUUCCCGAGGCAGGGGAUCGACGGUGGUGCGGCUCGGCCUGCUGUGGUCCGACGACCUAGAGGUGGUGGCCGGCAGCCGACGUGGUGGUGGCGCUGCUCCUUGGCGGCGGGGUGGCCUAGCGGCACGGGGUGGCCGGCUGCACGACCCCGGGCCAGAUCAGGGCCCAUAAGGCCUCAUCUAGGUCCUAGGGGACUGGCUCUGGCAUGGACUUGCUGCCUCCUGUACAGGGAUGAGGAGGGGCGGGUUGAAAGGGGGGCCGCGAUGCCGACGGUGUGCUUUCUGCAGCGCGAUGGCAGGAGCUUUAUGGGUAUUUGUGGGGCCAUGAGCCUGGUUUGCUCCUGCCGAUGUGUCCGGUCGGUUACUGUCGUUGACGAUGGAAGUCGGACCCUCCCGCAGGCCGCCGGUGUUGCUUCCCCUAGUCCCGACUCUUCUUCUUCGAUGUGCAGGCCUCACUUCUCGGUGUCCUGGUGAGACAGUGUGGGUCGCUUCAAGAUUGUGCUUGCGCAGGGCGGUGGGUGGUAUGGUGGAGUCCUCCGGAACGCCCGUGGUGAUGCGUGGGGAUCGGGACGUACAAAUCCUUGUCGGCCUGUUCGACACCGACACGGUGACGCCUGAGGGUGUCGACGGACCUUCCUGGAGGGUGUCGGGUGCUACCCUUUCUUUGUCCUCGUUGUGUAUCGGGGGAAACCCUUGGCAGCAGCGCAGUCAUCGUCGUGUCCCUUCUUGGAGGUGUUGAUUGGUAUCGGCGCUUCGAAGGCUAGGAUCUUGGUGGAAGAUCUUCGAUGGGCGCAACGAUCGCGGGGCCUCUUCAUUUUUGUCGAUCCAUCAUUGUUGGCAUCUAUUCCUUUUGCAUUUUCUUUUUCCCUUCCUUUUGGACGUGAUUGUGAUGUCUCCGUCCCAGCACUUAUUGAUGGAUAUAUCGGGCAUUUGCUAUAUUAAUAUAGCGAGGCGAACGCGUGCUUCGAAGAAAGAUGGACGAACUUACCAACCAUAUUACUUGUGCUUAUUUAUUUUCUUCUGUUACAACGCACAAACAUAUUUGCUAUUUGAACUAAAUCACAUUGCCAAUUGCUCGUCUAUCAUGUCAAAUCAGAACCACGCAUCUAACCCUCCCAAGAUGUAGAUCGAUCGGUUUUACUCGGCAUUCAUUAUGGAUCGGAGGGAGUACUCCUAGAUCAUAUUCAAAAUUGCUCCACGCCACAAAUAAAACUGCACGGUACAUAUGGUAAAUCUGGGAAAGUGAUUUGCGUGGUAUGUGUGCCAUAAUCAACUGAAUUAUUGGACUAACCGCAUCAAGAUCGGAUCACAUCGAUCCUAUCCCCGUCGACGAGACUGUCCUCGAAUCAAAAUAUUUCUCCAAUGGACGCUCGUGUCCCACGCUCUGAAAGCGACGCCUUUUGUUUUGUCAGUUAAUUUUCACGUCAAGCUCACACCCACGCACGCACCGUGUAGGAUCCACGGCUCGACGCACCUCCCCUUCCCUCCCCUUCUCCCUAUUUAACGAGCUAGCCACCCCCACGCUUUUUGCACCUCAGCAAGCACCAACACACACACACACACAAGAAAUGGCGAUGGCUAGGACGACGACGCUCCUCCUCGUCGCCGCAGCUCUCCUCGCGGCCUCAUGCAGCGCAUGGGAGGUCAACAUCCGCAUGCCGACGUCGGCGGCGGACGUGGACGAGGCGGUGGUGGCGCCGCUGAUCCACGCGCUGCGGCCGCUGCUGGGCUCCGGCAAGCACGCCGGAGUGGCGUGCGACAGCUGGGUGCUGGGGGUGGAGGCGCACAACGUGCGGGACUGGAAGACGGUGCCCGCGAGCUGCGAGGGCUACGUCGGGCACUACAUGCUCGGCAGCCAUUUCCGCCGCGACUCCAAGGUCGUCAUCGACCAGGCCCUCGCCUACGUCGACUCCCUCAAGCUCGCCGGCAACGGCAAGGAGGUCUGGGUCUUCGACAUCGACGAGACCACCCUCUCCAACCUCCCCUACUACGCCAAGCACGGCUUCGGGUACGUACUUACACUCUUGUAUACAUUACAUAGACACUACUGAUUCUACGUGUAGUGCAUGCAUUAGACUUGCUAUUUACUGCAGGUACAUCCGACCGAGCAGGGACUUGCACUCAUCUUUUCACUAAGAUGAAGUGUAAAUAAUCUGACUAGAUAUAUAUUGUAAAAAAUCAACUCACUAGCUAGCUAAAAAAUACCAGCGAGAUCUGUAAUGAAUGAAAAUUGGAAAGCACAUAAGGAUAGAAAUAUUGGAAAUAAAAAGGAAUAUAAUCACUAAGUAGAAAAGUACUUUAAUCACAAGUGUUGGACACUUGGACAUCAUCAUUGCCAGUAGGACUCGGGCCAUAUGUCCCUAGUAUGAAUGGCCAACAAAACAAGAAGGAAACAUACUAUAUUUUGAGAUAGAGAUGUGAUGUUGAUGGGCAUGCGAAUGUGGUGGCCGGGUAGGACCGUAUAUGUUGUCCACUUGGCUACUUUAUGGAAAUGUUCUAAUUAUGUUAUGCUAGUCAACUCAUACUUUCUAAUUAUGUCAUACUUUUGUACACAUACACACUAUUGUAGUGCAUUAUACUCCCUCUCUAUCUAAAUACUUAGAGUUCGAAAGAACUAGGUGCAUUUCAGCAGGGGCUUGCACUGAUCUAUUCGUUCAGAUAAAAUAAAUAUCUUACUAGACCUCGUUCAAAUGAACUCACUAGCUAGAAAGCACUAGUAUCAUAAGAUUUCUAAUGAAUGAAAGUGGGAAAACAAAUGAGACUAGAAGUGGAAACAAGGAAUAUACUCACUAGCUAGAAAAGUAUUAAUUGGACGUGUUGGACACACUUAGGCAGCAUCAUUGCUGGUUACCUCAAAUCAGUCACAGAGACGGCCAUCAGGACCAUAAAUAUGUCCCGCCUAUGAAUGGUCAACAAAACAAGAAGGAAACAUAGUACUAUAGUUUGAGAAUAUGGUGGCCGGGGUAGGACCGUAUAUGUUCUCCACUUGGCUACUUUAUGGAAACGUUUAUUUCCAGCUGUCCUUAUCAGCCGAUACGUUCUAAUUAUGUUAUGCUAAUCGAUUGAUAUUUUCUGAUUAUGUUAUGCUAAACUUAGUUCAGAUGGAUAGUACUCCGAUACGUUUUCAUUAUUUUAUGCUAAUCUGAGUUUAGAUGGAUAUAAUUACUUAUUUUAGAAGAUGUGAGAGGUCAGAACAUCUUGUGCAUAGUUAGUAGUUACAUGCUACUCCCUCCGUUCCUAAAUACAAAUCUUUUAAAAGAUUUCACUAGUGGUCUACAUAUGAAGCAAAAUGAAUGAAUUUAUACUAUAAAAUAUGUUUAUAUACAUUCAUAUGUAUUACUCUAACCUCUAAAAAGAUUUAUAUUUAAGAAUGGAUGGAGUACAACUCUAUUCCUCUUUUCUCAAAUAGUUGAACACUAUUCCUCUUAGUUAAGAAGAUUCUCUUGAACCAAGAUGGAAACUAACUUGAAAUGUAGUAGAAGUCUAGGUGAUAUCUAGCCAACAUGAUGAUACCAGUUUAGUUCAAAACAUGAUUAACUAGCUCCGGAUAGCUUGCUUGUGUAUAUUUUGAAUGUGAUGAGGGAGCUAGUUCGUUGUGAUUUAAAAUAAACUGUACCUUGCCGUAAGAACUUUAAAGUGGAUCUACACUGGGCGGCUGGAAAAAGAUACAUAAAAGUAUAUAUAUGCGCAUCAAGGAAAAAAGAAAGAUCAAAAGCUUAUAACAGCAUGUCUAACUAAUCGAGCGGUUCAAAUAACUUUGUUUCAUCACAAUCAUGACAAAAUUAACCUUUUUUGUUGAAAGUCGGAACUCUGCAAUAAGGUUGCAAUGGUAGACCUAUUUUACCAAAGGAAUCAACAAAGCUGAGCUGCUGCGUACAAAGCUGUGCACGAUGAGAUUAAAUACUACAACUGCGUUUUCGGUCCAACAAAACAGUAGCGUGAUGAUGCCGGAGUGAACCUCGCUAUGUCACAUUCAUUGAUUUACUCCACUUGACCAACUUAAUUUACGACGUCCACAACUACGUACUGCUCAUGCACGUGCGUUACGUACAGAUACAGAGCAUCAUUGCGUUUACGUAUUGCCCAUCCCCUUGGCCAUUUGGCCACUUGGGCCAUAAUCUAGGUUGCCUAUGUUCCUUGGAUAUGCAUAAUUACUACUACUUCUUAGUAGCUGAUAUGAUUGAAUCUGCCAUUAAUCUAUCCUCGUAUACAUGUGCGUGCAGGGCUACACCGUUCAACGCGACCAGCUUCAACGCAUACGUGCUACAGGGGAGCGCGCCAGCCCUGCCGGAGACGAAGCGGCUGUACAACAAGCUGCGCUCGAUCGGCGUCAAGCCGGUGUUCCUCACCGGCCGGACUGAGGACCAGAGGGCCAUCACCGUCACCAACCUCCGCCGCCAGGGGAUCUCUGGGUGGAUGAACCUCUUGCUGAAGCAACCCGGGUUCAAGGGCUCUGCGGUGACCUACAAGUCCGGCGAGAGGCAGAAGCUGCAGGACGCCGGGUAUGUCAUCGUCGGUAACAUCGGCGACCAGUGGAGCGACAUCCUCGGCGCGCCAGAGGGUGCCCGCACCUUCAAGCUGCCCGACCCCAUGUACUACAUCGGCUAGGCCGCCUCUGGCUCGGCCGGGCAUGCUGCCAUUGAUUUCUCGAAUAAGCUCCAUGCUCUUAGUUAUAUGCAUGUUUCGUCAGAUAAUCAAUCCCCAAUUGUUGCUUGGUUCAUUUCCAUUGUUGAGAGCUUGAGAUCAAUUGCUACUAUGAAUUAGACGUGUAAGUGGAGAUGUUGCAUGCUGCUUAAUCAAUGGAUCUUUGUUAUGUUGUUUUUCUUUUUGCUCUAUUACAAGGAAUCCAUGGGCAUUAUUACUAUUUGAUAUCUUGUUCUUAAGUCUUAACUUGGAACUUAUAUUGCUGGUGGUAGAUUUUUCUGUACUAAAUUCUGCAUAUGGUGUAUUAAAUAUCAGGGACACAUAAUAUUGUCACACAUAUGGAAUCACUACUGCUAAAAUGACCAGUUCCUGAACCCAUCUGCUAUUGGGCCCAUUUUGGCCCGUCGGAGGAAGGGAUCAUCGUCGGUGGACAGGCAAAGAAGUGCUCGCAUAGACUCCUUCAAAAAAUGUGCCCUCAUAGACGACGGGUAUUUUCCACUGAUGUUGCGCAACUGGUGAUUGCAAUGUAGUUUGUGUCUUGCAUGUUGUAUGCAUAUGUAAUGAAUGUAACAUCUAAUAGUUAAUUAUGCAAGACAAAUAAAGCCCACCCUUUUCAGUAAGUUUAGAGCUAGAUUUGAGUUUGUCUUGGUCUCAUUUUUCUAAACAUACAAUCCUGGAGACAACUCGGUGAAGAAAUGAUGGUCCAAAUAGGUGUCUAACACGAAUCGUCAUCAAAGAAACCCUAUGGGAACCCACACUAUUCUAGUUACUUGGAUGAUUUGUAAUGAAAGAAAUAUAUGUGUCUUCCAAGUUAUUUUGACCAUGCCAAACAACAUCCCUGCUAAGAUAAAAAACGAUGUGGAGACUUGGAUAAAGGCCGGGCGAAGGAUCUGGGAAACAUUAUGCCAGGAGAGUAGUUCCGUUCUAUUAAUUUAUCCUUGGAUGACGUUUCGCGGAGAGAGGGGAGAGGGCGACCUGGGCGAUCUGGGAGCGUCGGGGGCCGCCGUGGGCAUCGUCGGAGAGGGGGAACAUCGGUACUCCUCCUCCGAUCUCGCAUCCCAGGCGCGGCGCCGGAGCCCGAUCUCGGCGGUGGAGGGACCUACUGUCCGUGUCCGAUGGAGAGUUGCGUACUCAGAGGCUGGUUAUUCGGAUCUGCGUGAGGGGCAGAUUGUUUUUCAUUCGGUUUCUCGUUGGAUGACACUACGGGAUGACGACGACGACAUCCUCGCCGGCUGCCAUCUCCAAGAGGAAGAUCUCAUCUGCGAAGGUGCGCAUUUCAUGGUGGAUAUCUUUUCUGUUACUUGUAUUUCUCCUUUCCUGCAGGUGAAUUCACAAGAACGGAUGCAGCCUGAUUUGGUGGACAUAUCUGACGAUGAUAAGAUCGCCUCACCAAGACUUCUCCCUCGAGUUGGGGGGAGGUUUUGGGUACUGGCUAAAGAUGAAGACGACGAGAACCACGACAUUGCCGUAGCACAGGAGGUCUCUGCUCCUUUCUGCGACCAGGUUUUCCAUCCGGCCACGAGGGAUUUUAUUCAUGCAUUGCCUGAUUCGAAGGUCGUUAAGGUAGUUCAACGCAAGGAGCGAUUGGCGAUUAAACCUUGGAGCGGUCCUCUGCCUAAGGUUCAUCUCGAACCAUUGCGGAUCUCGGACAUCAUACCUUGAGAGGCUUGGACUACUGUUUUGCCUAAGAGGAAGAACAAGGGUAAGAGCCGUAAAUUGCAGACGUCAGUCCCUGACAAGGUGCUGUCGUCCCGUGAUUCUCGCGAAUUACGUUUGAACGAGCCGAUGGCUGUUGUCGGGCCGUUGGGACCGGCGCUCGAGUUGGGCUUAAAAGAAACUGGGUAUAUGGCCCAGAUAGACUCCAAUCUAGCAAAACCUGCAAGUCCUACACCUACGGCUGCCCAGAUUUGCCUUGACGAGAAUCAUCAGGACUUGGUUUCUACGUCAAGUUUGCAUAUACCGAGUUCGGCUCUGCCUAGGGUUCCACGACGGCGUUUGCCUGGCUUCCCUUCGCUCGGGCCGGGUCGUGCAGUACGGGUUCCAGCGCUGCGGUGCAUGGCGGGGCGGGGAAACAAGCAGGCGCUGCCUCCCCCUCGACCACCGGCGGUUUCCCAGGCUGUGGGGCGGACUAGGCAGCAGCCCGUGAUGCCGCCAGGGCGCCAGACGGGCCAGGCUUCGGCUGCACCGGUUCCCGCUGCUGGUCAGGGUUUGCCCAACGCGGCUCGGGCGGAUACUAACAGGAUGCAGCCGAGAGGUCGAUGGGGGGAUGAUGGUGUUAAUGCAUAUGGUGAUGGACAGCACCGUGGAUCCUCUUCGUCUGGAGGAGGACGUGGCUAUGCCUGGCAGAGCAAUGGCAGCGCUGCUAAUGGGUUCGCCGGUCCUCCGGGACAGUUUGUGCCCCGGGUCUCGGGUCCUACUCACCCUAGGGAGGUGGAUAUAAGCAACAUUGGGGAGGGAGAGGUGGUGGCAGGAGAUUGAAGCCGCCCACGCCUCCAGUAGAGGUAGAUGCUGCCAAGACAACGGCGGGAGUACCUUCCAAUGCUCCUAAGGGGAAUACACUGCUGCCACCUGUUUCCGAGGAGGAUCCUUCCUUGGCUGACAAGGGAGUAUCGCUUGCGAAGGCAGAGGGGGGGGGAUAGGCCCUCCAAGUGGGCACGCAAAAAAGAAAAGAUGACAUGCUACCGUUGCAGUGAGACGGGUCAUUUUGUUUCCGAAUGCAGCGCGGAUCUGUGUGACUUUUGCUUAAAGCCUAAGCAUGGCUCAGCUAAGUGCCCCCUUACUGUUGGUCCUAUACAUGUCGUCACUUUAUAUGGGGUUUGCUGCCAAGAGUUGAUGUUCUUUGAAUCUCCCUCUGCUUCAACGUCGUUGCAUGUGCCAGACGCGGCCUAUACGGGGACGGUUACGGUGGCUCGUGGUAAUAUGUCAGCUGAGCAGGUGGUGCAACAGUUGAGGGAUCUUGUUUCAUCAAUGUUUCGGUGGGAACUGGUCCUUAUAGCAGAUAAUGUGUUCAAGGUUGUGUUCCCUACCAAGGAGGACCUAGCUAGACUGCUCAAGUUUGGUAUGUGUCGGGUUCCUAGUACUAGUUGUGUGCUAGAGUUCGAUGCUUGGAAGAAUGAGGAGCCAUAAGGUGUGCCACUUCCUCAGAUUUGGGUUCGUUUUUCAGGGGCCCCGUCAAAGGCUCUAAAUGACUUUCUGGUGACUUGGAGUUUGGGAUCUUUGAUAGGUAAGACUGAGAGGGUGGAUAUGCAAUAUACUCGGGCUAAAGGUGUUGCCAGGAUGAGGGUUAGUGUAAUUGAUAUUGCGCUAGUACCGGAUGAAGUUAUAUGGACUUAUGAUGGAAUGCGGUACACCUUGCAACUCGAGAUCGAGAGUCCGGAUAUGUUCGAGGAGGAUGGGACAGACAAAGAUACCGAUAUGGCUGACGGAGAUGAUGCUUCGGGUUCUAGGGAAUCUGAUAAGAAGGAUCAACAGCCAGUUAUUACAAAGAUGGUGGAUCAACCUACCUCAGGUUCUGCUACAGGGGCUGCUCAACCAGUGUCUCUUCCCUCGACGCAGCUUAGGUUCGGUUCCUUUGAACCAGCCUCGGCGCCAGAGAUUCGAGGGAGGGCUUCAGAGAAGUAUGAGCGGGAUCUGGUUCAUCUUAAGCCGCAAGGAAAGCAAGCAAAGUCAGGGUCAUUCAGUAUUAAAAAUCCUAAGGAAGCUUUGACCGUAGUUUCUCUUGGGGAAUAUUUUGUUGUCGCUAGGAAUGCUGAUACGGGCCGGUCUCAGCAACGUGAUGCAGUGCAGCCAGCAAGGCAUAUGUUGUCCGGGUUGGGUACUGUGCCGAGGGGUGCGCCGCCUGGGUCGCCUAGGCAGGGUUCGCUGCUGCUGUAGAGUCCAUCGCCAGCCACCCAGGGGGUUGCUGUUUCUCGGCCAGCCACCCCUGGGGCUGCUACCUUUUUGCCAGCCACACCGAGGGCAAUUACAGCGACUCCUCCUCCUGGCCUACUUCCGUCGUUGGAUGCUGCUGCGAGAUCCACCCCUGCUGCUGGUUUCAUGUCAGCCGAGAGAUCAACCCCUGUUGCUGCGGUUCCUAUCGCUACUAUGGCUGCAACCGGGGCAUCAUCUUUGCGGGUGUCAGGGCUGGAGGGUACUGGUCAGGGGCACCAUGGCGAGGUCGUUGCACCGCCGUCUGUUGAGCAGGUCAUAGCAUACGGAGGUAUUCAAAGUCCGCUGACUUCGGACAGGAGGUCCAGUCGGCGAAUUCAGAAUCAACCUGAUGCGGAUUAUUUACAGAUGGGACGUGCUAUGCGUGCGGCUAAAAUGAGAGAUGUCGAAACUGAGACAGGUAUGUCUUUCAGCAUUAACGAUUCUAUUCUUCAUUUUUCUCCUCAAGAUAUUCUAGAUAAGGCAGGUUCUAUUGGGGUUACAUUGGGGAACAAUGGCCGAGAAAUUUCGAAAUCUAUUAAUGAUCUAUUAGACUUAGAGGUCGAUAGAGCGUUAGACUUAGUACGAAAUUUAGCGGCAGUUAAACCAAUGCAAGAGUCUGAAGUUAACGAUCUAGGGGGACUGAAUUCUCUUUGUGAUAGUCUGGCCCCGUCAGUGGAUAUAGAGGAUGGUGCGGGCGAGGUUUUAGUUGGUCAAGGGAUGUGUGCCCAAUCUCAUAAGGCUGAGCCUCAAUUCUCUGGUUAUAUGGACCAGGAGUUGCUGGAAAAGCCGAAGCGUCCAUGGAGACGGAAAGUGUAUCCGGUCUCUGCGAUACGUAGAAGUGCUAGAUUUAAGAUUGCCAAAAAAAAUUAUGAUGAUUAAUGAGAGGAAUUUUUUGGAAUAGCAGAGGUCUUUGAGACUUGGCUAAAAGAAGAUUUCUAGCAGAGGCUACUUUAGAGCAUCACCUUGAUUUUAUCGCAGUGAUGGAGACAGGGAGGGAUAACUUUACGUCUCAUUUUUUAAGUUCUCUAUCAGCUGGGGUGGAUUUUGACUGGCACUGUCUCCCUCCAAGAGGAAGGUCCGGUGGGAUCUUACUUGGGGUCCGUUGUGACACUUUUCAAGUGCGGGAGGUGGUGUUUGGGGAGUUUGCAGUCAAAUUCAAGAUUAGAUCUAAGGAUGACGGGUUCCAAUGGGCUCUCGUUGCCGUCUAUGGCGUAGCACAGCCAGAUCUAAAGCCUGAUUUCCUAGCAGAUCUGGUCAGGAUUUGUGAUGACAAACUACCAUUGCUGGUAGGUGGAGAUUUUAAUAUUAUUAGGCGGGCUGAUGAAAAAAGUAGUGUUAAUUUUGAUGGAAGAUGGCCUUUCAUGUUUAACACAAUUAUUGAGAGCUUAGAUAUGAGGGAGACCGCUCUAUCAGGUAGGAAAUAUACCUGGGUGAAUGCUCUACAGAAUCAGACAUUUGAAAAGUUGGAUCGUGUCUUAACUAGUGUAGAGUGGGAGCAGAAGUUCCCUCUAGUAACUGUUAGAGAACUUCAACGCGCAAUCUCGGAUCAUACUCCUCUGUUGCUGGAUUCCGGUGAGGCUAGCCAUAUAGGAAACAAACAUGGAUUCUCUUUUGAAUCAAGUUGGUUCACAAGGGAGGGGUUCAUGGAUAUGGUCGAGAGGGAAUGGAAUACAGAGGUCAGGGGCGAAACCUCUAUAGAAAGAUGGCAGUAUAAGAUUAGACAUCUUAGACAGUAUUUGAGGGGCUGGUCUAAGAAUGUGUGUGGAAUAUAUAAAGAAGAGCAAGAUAAGCUCCUCAAACUUAUAGACAAUCUAGAUCGGAAGGCUGAGAGUUGUCUUCUGGAUGCUAACGAAAGGGAUCUCAAAUUCGAGGCCGGACAGCGCUUGCGUAUUCUCCUAAGAGAGGAGGAAAUGAAAUGGGCGCUUGAGCCAAAGUGAAGGCCAUAGUUCUUGGAGACAAUAACACUAAAUUUUUCCACUUGAUUGCAAAUGGCAAGCAUAGGAAAAAGAAAAUAGUGCAGCUUGAGCAAGAUGAGGGUACAAUACUAGGUCAUGAGAAUCUAAAAUUGUACAUCUCUAACUACUACAAACAUUUAUUUGGUGCUCCUGAGCAUAGCUUUGUGACUAUGGAUGAGCAAAAAGUGGCGGAUAUUCCUCAAGUUGGAGAGGCUGACAAUGAGAUUUUAUCCGCUCCUUUCUCAGAGAAAGAGGUGUUUGACGCGAUAGGGAAUAUGAAGAAUGGAAAAGCUCCCGGUCCAGAUGGGUUUCCGGCGGAGUUUUACAAGCACUGUUGGCAUAUUAUUAAGAAUGAUCUUAUGUCAAUGUUUGCUGAUCUUUUUAGUGGUCACCUUCAACUCUUCCAUUUGAAUUUUGGUACUAUUACACUCUUACCAAAGAAGGAAGGGGCCACGCGGAUUGAACAGUUUCGUCCGAUCUGUUUGUUGAAUGUUAGCUUCAAGAUUUUCACAAAGGUGGGAACAGAUAGGUUGACUAAGAUGGCCCAUUCGGUGGUACAAUCUACGCAAACAGCUUUUAUGCCAGGACGGAAUAUCCUUGAAGGAGUCGUUGUCUUGCAUGAAACUCUUCAUGAAAUGCACUCGAAGAAACUAGAUGGGGUUAUCUUUAAAGUGGAUUUCGAAAAAGCUUACGAUAAAGUCAAAUGGUCGUUUCUCCAGCAAACCCUACGUAUGAAGGGUUUCGAUGAGCUGUGGCGUAGGCACGUCGAUUGUUUUAUAAAGAAGGGAAGUGUGGGUGUCAAAGUGAAUGAUGAUGUGGGUCAUUUUUUCCAGACACUAAAGGGUCUCCGCCAAGGAGAUCCAAUGUCUCCCAUUUUAUUUAACAUUGUUGCUGAUAUGUUGGCACUGCUGAUUAAGCGGGCCAAUGAGAAGGACCUUGUAAGGGGCUUGAUCCCUCAUCUUGUUGAGGGGGGGAGUCUCCAUUUUACAAUAUGUGGAUGACACGAUUCUUUUUUUGGAGCAUGAUCUCAGUAAAGCCAGGAACCUCAAACUUAUCCUAUGCUUAUUUGAACAGCUAUUAGGGCUGAAGAUAAAUUUUCAUAAAAGUGAAUUGUUUUGCUUUGGAAAGGCCAAGGAUGAGCAGCUCACGUAUAAUCAAUUGUUUGGUUGUGCUAGCGGGAGUUUACCUUUUACUUAUUUAGGGAUCCCAAUUCAUCACAGAAAAUUAUCAAAUAAGGAUUGGAAAUGUAUCGAGGACCGUUUCGAAAAAAGUUGAGCUGUUGGAAGGGCGAGCUCUUAUCGUAUGGAGGAAGGUUGAUACUGGUUAAUUCAGUAUUAACAAGUAUGCCUAUGUUUCUCCUAUCCUUCUUUGAAGUACCUGUUGGGGUACGGAAAAGGUUGGAUUUCAAUCGAUCACGGUUUUUCUGGCAAAGUGAUGAGAUCAAGACUAAAUACAGACUCUCGAGAUGGGACAUCAUGUGUAGACCUAAGGAUCAAGGAGGUUUAGGGAUUGAAAAUUUAGAGAUUAAAAAUAAAUGUCUACUCAAUAAAUGGCUGUCUAGAUUAUCUAUGGAGACAAAGGGGUUGUGGGUACAAAUUCUGACGAAUAAAUACCUACAAAACAAGACUUUGGCGCAGGUUACAUUGAGACCAACUGAUUCACCGUUCUGGAAGGGGGUCAUGCGGUCUAAGAAUGCUUUUUUUCUCAGGUCUAAGUUUGUUAUUGGCAAUGGCCAAUCUACUAGAUUUUGGGAGGAUACUUGGUUGGGGGAGACGCCUUUAGCCAUGCAGUAUCCGCAACUCUACCAUAUUACACAAAGGCGUCAGGCGACUGUUGCGUCAAUUUUGCGCCAGGUUCCUCUAAAUAUUCAGUUAUGUAGAGCCUUAAUAGGUAACACAUGGUCAAGCUGGCUGCAUCUAGUGAGAAGGUUGUUGGAUAUUACCCUUACUGAGAACCCUGAUAGUGUUCGUUGGAAGUUGACCACUGAUGGAGUUUUCUCGGUAAAAUCUAUGUAUUUAGAUCUCAUAGAUUCUGUGUCCAUCCCGAAGUCCUUACAUAUUUGGAAGGUCAAAGUUCCACUUAGAAUUAAGAUCUUCAUGUGGUUUGUUCGCAAGGGGGUUAUUCUAACUAAGGAUAAUUUGGUCAAACGUAAAUGAAAAGGUAAUACUAGAUGCAGUUUUUGUGAGAACGAUGAAACAAUUAAACACCUCUUUCUGGACUGUCCUAUGGCUAAACUUCUAUGGCGAACACUUCUUAUUACUUUCAACAUUAAGCCACCCAAUAGUUUAAACACGUCAUUUGGGACGUGGUUAAGAGGGGUCGAUGAUAUAACUGCUAGCCUGAUCCGAGUAGGAUCAUGUGCACUUCUGUGGGCUACAUGAAACUGUAGAAAUGACUUGGUAUUUAACAAACAUCAACAUAUUCACUUUUUGCAGGUCAUUUUCAGGGUUAUUGCCUUGAUCCGCACAUGAUCAUUACUCACUCCUGUGGAAGCCAGGGAGCCUAUGGUUACUGGGUGUGUCCGAUGGAAGAUGGUAGCUCAGGUUAUCUUCAACCGUUUUGGAUGACGGCAUAUUAAUAGGAUAGGUGUUUAGUCAUCUAGGCUUAUUUCAAUGCCUCCCGGUUGUGGCGACGACGCCGUGUAUCUUUUUGUUAUUUUCUUCAUUUACUUAUCUGAAGACUCUUUGUACUUUUCGAGGAUUUGGUUUUGAAAUAAUAUAUGGCCGUAUGCAUCCUUCGAUGCCGAGGCCGGGGCUUUGCCUCCUUUUCAAAACAAAAAAAUUUAAUUUAUCCUUUCAUUGUUAACCCCUUUUUUGGACUGCAGUUAUUCUAACUCUCUUUUAAGUAAUGUAAUAAGGCAUAUCUUUUUCCUCCAUUUCGAGACAAAGUUCGGACCUAGCACAACUGUAACAUCCGCUCUACAUCGACUCACUCUAGAGAGACUAGUCUUGGCACCUUUUGCAGAACAUGAUUAGUGUCCUGACAUGGAGUAUUUUAGCAUAUAAUGGUCAACUCUCAAGCACAUAUCACUUCAAAUUGCAUUGCUGAAAAAGAACAUACACUUGCACGUUUUUCGAACUUUCACGCAACAAUAAAGUAACUCAAUGAAAUAUUAUGAUACACUCAAAAACAAUAAUAAGCACUCAACAAAAUAUCAACAGUUUUAUUUUGAUGGACGUAGUAGGACUGUAUCUGUUGUCCACUUGGCUACUUUAUCAACAUAUUUAUUUCAACCACCCUGAUCAACAGACAAUAUCUAAGUAUGUUAUGCUAAUUGAGUUAAAAUGGAUAAUCCUUAUUUUAUAAGAUGCAAGGAGUCGAAACAUAUUGUGAUUAGUUGCAUGCUACUAGCCUACUACAACACUAUUGAUCUUAGUUAAGAAGAUUAUCUUGUGAUUAGACGAAGUCUAGAUCAUCUAGCCAAGUAUGAAAAUAUUUAAAGGAGCGUGUGGAUACCUUUUCUUCUUUAAUAAAGGAAAAAAAAUUGUGUAUAUAUGCGAGUCUGAAAACAAAGAAAAGAAAGAUGGACAGCUUAUCACAGCUUCACAUAUGUCAUCUACUCCCUGCGUUCCUAAAUAUAAGUCUUUUAAAAGAUUUUACUAAAAGACUAUAUAUGAAGCAAAAUGAAUGAAUCUACAUUUUAAAUAUAUCUAUAUACAUUCUUUAGAAAGACUUAUAUUUAGGAACGGAGGGAGUAAUAGCUAAUUGAGGGGUUCAAAUAACUUUGUUUCGCAAUAAUGAUUGAAAAUCAACCUUUUGUUGAAAUCCGAAACUCUACGUACGGUAGACCUAUUUUUAUCAAGGGAAUCAACAAAGAUGAUCUGCUACAUAAAAAUGCGCGUAUGGUCACUCACGAGCCACAAGGACGAUGCUUGAGUAGUGAUGAGUGAGGUGCACGAUGAGAUUAAAUAUUCCAACUAGUGUAACCGAAAAGUAUAGUAAGUUAGACAUCGUUCUUGGUCCACGAAAAUAGUGGCGUGAUCGAUGACAUCUUGAUGCCGGCCGGAGACUAGGAUCUGGCUGUUUGAUAGGGUACCAAUUAAUUUAUACCCUCCACUUGGCCAACUUACUUCAUCACCAGUCGAUAACUGUAUACGCAUUGUUCCAUAUUCAUGCAUGCACGUGCUUACAGCCCAAGAGCAUUGGGUUUAGCUGGUGCUGUCUGAUCCGCUUGAACUCGUAGAAAAAGGGCCUUUGGCCUGGACCCUUUAGUCCCAGCCUGUCUUUCGGUCGGAACUAAAAGCCGGCCACGUCAUCCCAAAUUAUCAGUUUAACCCGCUUGGCCACCAUUUAUAUCAUUAAAAAACCUCAAAUUUGUAGCGGGGUGAGUUUACAUGUUACCUUGGAUCGCCAUUGUUUUUUUGGCCCUGCGUGUAACGACGAUGGCCGGAGUAGGCUCGUGCAGAUUAGUCCUCCUCUUGGUAAUUAAGGAGUAUAUAUCCACUAGCUAGUGUCUGACAUUCAGAACCUCCACUCGAUGGCCAGAGUAUUUGAUAUUUAUACUCUCCUCUUGGUAAUUAAGGAGUGCAUAUCCACUAGCUAGUGAUCUAAACGUUUCUAUAUUAAUUUAUGGAGGAAAUAUUUAAUAAGGUUAUUACCCAACAUUACAGGCGCCAUCCGAUAAACCAUAUCACUUUUUUUUGCGAGGACCUAAACCAUAUUCAAAAUGCAGAAUUACUGGCACGUGGUGUAGUUUACGGAUCGAGCCUCCUCCUUCGUGGGCACCAUAGUAGUCAUGCAAGACAUCGUAGUUAUAUAGUGGUCAAGUGUGAGUUAUGAUUGCUUGUAUAUUUUUUAUGCGAUUUAUGAGUCAAUAAAAGUGCUUUUAUUGAGAAAUGUAUCUAUAUUGAUUAUUGUUGAACCUGCCAUUAAUGUAACUAUUUACACAUGUGCGGGGCCAUGCCGUCCAACACGAGGAGCUUCAAAGCGUAUGUGUGGGAGGGGAGUGCGUCGAUGCUGCAAUGACGAACUGCUCUUGGUCGGCGUCCAGCCGGUGUUCCUCACCGGCCAGACCGAGGACCAUAGGGACAUCAUCGUCACCAACCUCCACCGCCCGAGUUCAAGGGCUCCACGGUAACCUACAAGUCUCAUGAGAGGCAGAAGUUGCCGACGACCUGGUAUGUCAUCGUGGGCACCAUUGAUGACCAAGGGAACGACAUCCUGGGGGUAUCCGGUGGGGGGCACACCUUCAAGUUGCCCGACCACAACGGCUAGGCUACAUAGAGAUCGGCCAUGCCUUGAUUGAUUUCUUGAGUAAGCUCUAUGCUUUCAAUUGUAUGCAUGUUUAGUAAACAAUCCCUCCCUAGUUGUUGCUUUGUUCAUUUUCAUUGUCGAGAACUUGAGAUCAAUAGUUAGUAUUUAUAAGACGUGUUACGCUAAAAGUUGCAUGCAACAUAAUCAAUGGUUUGUUGGUUUUAUUGUUUCUCUCUAUUACGAGAUCCAUGGGCUAUAUUGUUGUUUGAUGUAUUGUAAUUCUUAACUUGGAUCUGUAAUAUUGAUCAUGGUGUACUUUUUAACUAAAGAUUGUUGAUGGUGGAAUUAGUAUGAAAGGUACAUAGUGCUGUCACACAUAGGGUGUCACUACUCCCAUUUUGGCCCAACAGAAGGAAGGGUCAUCAUUUACGGGUCACCAGACUGCGUUAGUAUAGAGGCAACAAGGUAUUUUAACCAUGCCGAACAUCAUUAUUGUGAAGAUUAAAAAUGAGGCGGCAACUUGGGUCAAUUUUUGGGGUGGAGGAUUUGAGAAACACUAUGCCCCGUGAGAAACUCCGCUAUAUUAUUUAAGUCUUUCGUUUUUAGCCUCUCUUUUUUCGGCAGCGGUUCUUCCAACUCUCCUAGUAAAUAGAAAGGGGGAAAGAAAAUCUUUUGCCUCCAUUUUGAAAAAGAAAAGGUUGAGACUAACAUCCCUUUCCAUCGACCCACUCUAGAGAGUGUCUCCAACCUUGUUUUCUUGGCCCUUUUGCAUGACAUGAGUAGUGUCCUAACAUGGACUCCUUGAUGUGUAACGCUCAGCUCUCCUGACCAAAUCGCUUAGAAUUACAUCACACGCAAAAGUUAUAUACUUUUGCAUGUUUUUCGCACGUCAAUGCAACAUUAAAAAUUUCAAUGAAACAUUAUGAUACAUUUUGAAACAAAAAAGAACUCAGCAAAACAUACUGUGGAAAUAGAAAAUUUUUGCCAACAACUAAAAAAACGCAGUCAUCAAUUUAGCCGCAACAAAAAUAAGAUGUUAGAAGUCAGAACAUCUUGUGCAUGAUUAUAUGCUAUAGGACUAUUCAUUAGAGAAACUAGUUGGGUAAAACUUUCUCCUUUUUCCGAAUCUCCUUUUUAAUGUGGGGAAAAAGCUAAUGCAUUGUGGUUUAAAGUAAAUAUUACAUCGGCCUGGGAAAUUUAAAAUGAAUCUAGACUGGACGGCUACAAAGAGAACCAUAAAAGUAUUCAAGCACGUCAGAAGAAAAGGAAAGAUAAAAUUCAAAAAAGAAAAGAGAAAAGGAAAGAUGAACAACCUAUCACUUGCCUCAUAUCUUUACCUAAUAAUAAAGAGGCUAUUGCUUCCGUCGAAAAACCCACCGCUGCCGUUUUUUAAAAAGCCCCCUGUCUUUUAGGUAAUUAAACCCGCAGUACCUUUUUAUGUGUUACGAACAUGAAAACGUUUCAUUUUUGCAGGGAGCCUCCCAUGGCAUUGGAUAAGAGAAACGCAUCUGGGCUGACGAAAACGCACGAGAGGGCUAUCGCUUCUGCCCUCAUAAUCCCACAUCGAUACUUCACAGAUAAUUUCAUCACUUUAUAUACAUGCGCCUUGGUGAUUUUACAAGAGGCAACGGAAAUCAAGAGAGGAACAAAUUCGAGAAGAAGAAAUUGAGAUGACGCAAACAGAGGUGGAGCUGCGAGACAGAGGGGGCUCGGGGCGAAGGAAAGGGUCGGGCGCCGGCGAUGCAUACGUGGAGGUGGGGGCGUCGGGGUUAGAGGAUUCAGGCAACCGGCGGGGUAAGUCUUGCCGGAGACUGGCCCCAUAGGCCGACCUCGCAGCAGCACACCAUGGGAGGUGGUCGCGAGGUGCAGAGGUGGGAGGCGGUGGAGGAGCGGAGGAGGAGGCGAGUGCGGGCGCCAUUGGAAGGGGGGAGUCGGGGAGAUUGGGGAUCCUGUGGGGCUCUCUCCCCUAGCGGCGCGAGGUGGAGGAGAGGAGGGGGGCUGGGGAUCGGGCUAGGUUAGGGGAUUUAGGAGUGGGUAAGGCUAUGCCUUGGCACGCCUAAUGGGUUGUGCACUACUACUCAUCUCUCUUUCCUUUAAUUUCUUUAUCUAAAUUCUUUAAUUAAAAAUAUGUGGUAUUAUUUUUUUUCCGUUGCAACGCACGGGUCCUUUUGCUAGUAUCAUCUAACAAAUCGAGGGGUUCGCAUAGAUCUGCUUCGCCACAUAAUAAUAUAAUCAUGACAAAAGGCUACCUUCUGGUGAAAGCAGAAGCUCUGCAAUAAAGCUGCAAUCGUAGACCUAUUUUAUGAAGGGAACCAACAAAUCGAGCUGCACAAUCCAAUUAAAUACUAAUUCCUCCGUUCCUAAAUAUAAGAUUUUUUAAAGAUUAUAUUAUGAACUACAUAAAAAGAAAAAUGAAUGAAUCUAUAUUUUAAAAUAUGUUUAUAUACAUUUGUAUGUAGUUCAUAGUUAAAUCUAUAAAAGGUCUUAUAUUUAAAAACAGAGGGAGUAUAAGUACUGAGUAAGUUUGACAUUUGUUCUUGGUCCAACAAAACAGUCGUGUGACCCAUGACGAAGCGGCGAUGCCGGAGUUGGAUCUCACUGUCUGAUAUUUAUCGAUUUGUGCCCUCCACUUGGCCAGCUUAAUUGAUCACCAGUCUCUUUCAUUGACAAUUAGUGCUGCUCAUACACGUGCGUUGCAUACAGAUGAUAUAUUGGGUUUAGGUACGGCUGUCUGAUCCACUUGGCCACCUUCUCACUAGAAAGCUCAAGUUUGCAGCGACGAGUUUGCAUGUUACUACAUUGGAUCGCCGUUGUUUAGCCCUGCGUGUGUGAUGAGGGGCGGAGACCCGGAGCAGACCCGUGCAGAUUCGUAUUCCCUUGGUUAUGUUUUAUUCUGUAUAUUAGGUUUGUAUAAUGUAAAACCUAAAUUUGCUUCGCCACAUAAUAUAAAAUAAUAUAAUCAUGACAAAGGCUACCUUCUGGUGAAAGCAGAAGCUCUGCAAUCAAGCUGCAAUCGUAGACCUAUUUUAUGGAGGGAACCAACAAAUCGAGCUGCACAAUCAAAUUAAAUACUACUCCCUCCCUUUUUAAAUAUAAAAACUUUUAAAAAUUAUACUAUGAACUAUAUAAGAAACGGAAUGAGUGAAUCAAUACUCUAAAAUACUCCCUCCGUUCUAAAAUAGGUGUCUUAACCUUAAUACAAUUUUGUACUAGAUCUAGUACAAAGUUGAGACAAUUAUUUUAAGACAGAGAGAGUAUGUCUAUAUAUAUUUAUAUGUAGUUUAUGUUGGCUUUGGAUCCGUAGAUUAAUUCACCCAGUAGCUACCACAUACGUGCAAGCUAGCCUCUAAGCUAGCAAGCAGGCACACAAGUGGAUGGAUAUCCAAUUCGUAGAAAUAGAACGACGUACGACGAGCUAGCUAACUGAUUCGAUCGUCUUGACUGCUCGGAAUGUAACUCGUUGAAAAACUGAUCGAUGGAUUGCUAACAGGCUCGUAUCGAGCCUGGUACUUUUUUAUUGCGUUUUGAUCUCUGGUGUUACAAGCAACAUCUCUAGGAUGCCUUUUAUACACAUCCACAAGGAACUAUGAAAAUAGACUAGGACUAGGUAUCCUAAUACUACUAGAACUCGGUUUGAUUUUCUUUCCUAAUCCUAUGUGUACAAGGCAACGUGAUUAACUCACAUUCACCCCCUAAUCACGAUGUCCUUACUUCCGACCUGGGUCCCAAACACGAUUGCUGCUUCUCAUAAAUGUUAUCAUCGACAUGGCCUUUGUCGUCCCUUGCAACAUUUUAUGGACCGUCUUUACUGUCGUCGGCUCGUCCGUAGCUCGAUGACAACACUCCUUUUUGGUCGUGUCUUCAAUCUUCAUCUCUUCUUCGGUGCUUUGUAGACUGUCCUUCGGAUCAUCGAGGGUACAUCUUUUGAACCUGAGCGUGACCAUACUUUGGUCUAACUUUGAAUUUCAAGCUCUUGGCGCUUGCAUCAGCCCGUAACUUUGAACCACAAGGAAGAAGUACUUCUUUCCUCCGUGAGUUGCUGGGGUGAUAGGGCCACAUAGAUCACCAUGGAGCAGCUAGAGUGCAUCACUUGCACGAUAGGUAGACUGAGCAGGGAACGGCCUGCGGUGCUGUUUUCCAACCAAGCACCCGUCACAUACUCGAUCAACAUGGUCGAUAACUGGCAUCCCGGAUACCAUCUCCAUCUUUGACAUCUUCUUCAAGGCGUAGAAGUUAACAUGUCCGAAUCAUCAUCACUCUUGGCGAGCCAACACUCCAGUUGAGAUUGAUCAAGGUUGAGGAUAUAGAGCCUGUUCCGUGUGCGAGUAACACGAGCUAGCACGUUUCGGAGGUUGUCGAAGAUCGUCAUUACUCCGUUAUCGAUACCCACCUUGCAUCCAUUCUCGUCAAGCUUCCCAAUAAAGAUGAUGUUGUUGUGAAGCCGUGGGAUGUAGUACACUCCGGUAAGUAUGCGAUGUUCGCCUGUGAGACCCUCGAAGAGGACAGAUCCUUGCCCACAAAUCUCCACAUUUGAACCAUCACCGAACUUGACUGAGCCUUCAACAUCGUAUUCCAGCUCGAGGAAUUUCUCCUUGCACCCCGUCAUGUGGUUACUGGCACCCGUGUCGAGAUACCACAACACAUUCUGAUCACCAGCUAACUUCGGUGUCACUUUGUUUUCAUGAAGUAGCACCUUCCGGCUUGGUUUCACAACCACCGUUUCAGCGAGAUCACAAACUUCGGCCAUCAGAAGACCUGGACCUUCGUCUUCCUCCUUUGCCAAAUUUGCCUUGAUCUCUCGCUUGUCAUGCUCCGGACAAUCCUUUGCAAAGUGACCCAUCUCGUUGCAGUUAUAGCACUUGACCUCGGACAUAUCCAAGUUCCGUUGCUUCCGCCCUUUAGAUCGGUCAGCCUUACCACGACCUUGUAGCUUGCCUUUUCCUUUGCCUUCUCCGGUUUGUCCGCCGCGCGUUGUGCUGCUUGAGCCUUCGUUGCCAUCACACCUUCCUUUGCUACUUGGGGACUCCCAAUCUGCACGUGAGUACAUGAGUUGGUCACUACCUCCUCCGUUGCCUUCCCGACAACUACGAGAAUUCUCUUCCCACGUCCGCAGGCGUCCGAUCGCCUCCGUUAUGGUCAUGUCGUCGAUGUCGUAAAGCUGCUCGAGCGUGCCAAUGAUGUACGUGAAUUUUUUAGUCACCGAACUGAAAAAUUUCUCCACAAUCUCGGUCUCCUCGAGCUUUGCACCAAGCGCGCGGAUCUCUCCCACCAAAGUAGUAAGACGCAUGGCAUAGUCGUUCACCGAUUCAGUUUUCUCCAUCUGCAACUUGUGAAAUUGGCGCUUCAGCACUUGUGCCCGAGCCUUGGUGACGCGAUCUUCUCCGAUCCUCAUCUCGUUGAGUGCGUUCCACGCCUCUCUUGCCGUCUCGAACUCCACCAAUGUCAUCAGCACGGAAUCCGGCACAGACUGGGCUAUGGCGGCCAUGGCACCUUCGUCGCGCUCCUCGUCGACGUCGUCGUCCGUGAUGGCCUCCCACACUCGAAGAGAUCGGAGAAUAAUCUUCAUCUUCACCGCCCACACGUCAUAGUUGGCAUCGGUGAGCAUCGGGUACUGGAUGGGGAUGUUGCGAUGCGCCUGGACGUUGGCGCUGCUCGUUCCUCCAUCACUCGUUGCUGACUUGUCGUCCUUCUUCACCUUGUCGUCGUUCUUGUUCGCCUUGGCACCGCCUUUGCCGGAUUUGACCGACUCAGCGUCGCUGUCCGUCAUCGUAGAUCGUAGAUCGUCGAGGCUCUGAUACCAAUUGUUGGCUCUGGAUCUGUAGAUCAAUUCACCCAGCAGCUACCACGUACGUGCAAGCUAGCCUCUAAGCUAGCAAGCAGGCACACAGGUGGAUGGAUAUCCAAUAGAACGACGACGAGCUAGCUGACUGAUUCGAUCGUCUUGACUGCUUGGAACGUAACUCGGUGAAAAACUGAUCGAUGGAUUGCUAACAGGCUCGUAUCGAGCCUGGUACUUUUUGUAUUGCGUUUUGAUCUCUGGUGUUAUAAGCAACAUCCCUAGGGUGUCUUUUAUACACAUCCACAAGGGACUAUGAAAAUAGACUAGGACUAGGUAUCCUAAUACUACUAGGACUCGGUUUGACUAUCUUUCUUAAUCCUAUGUGUACAAGGCAACGUGAUUAACUCACAGUUCAUAGUUGAAUCUUUAAAAGGGCUUAUAUUUAAGAACGAAGGGAGUAUAAGUAGUGAGUAAGUUUGGGACACGCCGUUUUGGCUCCCGGACUCAGAUGAGCCCGAGCGUAAACAGUACGCCAGUUUGGGGUGCAAAAAAUGUUCCAAAAAAUCAAAAAAAAUUGUGAUGCAAGAUGCUCCUAUGUGUGAACUCUCUGUAAAAUUUUGUGAAGUUUGGACAUACGAGGAGCUCACUGCAAAAAAGACGAAAUUCAGAUGUGUGAGAAACUUUUGAAAAUCACACUAUUCAUGCCUGAUUUUGUCUUUUUUGCUGCAAACUCUUCAAAUGUCCAAACUUCAUAAAAUUUUACAGAGUUCACACAUCGAAGCAUCUUGCAUCAUAAAAAAAUAUUUUUUUUAAACUUUUUUGUAUUCCAAACCGUUGUACUGUUCACCGGGCUCAUACGAGCCCGGGCUCACAGAUGGAUUACCGGUAAGUUUGACAUUUGUUCUUGGUCCAACAAAACAAUGGUGUGAUCGAUGACCAAGCGGCGAUGCCGGAGUUGGAUCUCGCUGUGUGAUAUUUAUCGAUUUGUGCCCUCCACUUGGCCAGCUUAAUUGAUCGCCAGUCUCCUUCAUUGACAAUUAGUGCUGCUCAUACACAUGCGUUGCAUACAAAUGAUAUAUUGGGUUUAGGUACGGCUGUCUGAUCCACCUGGCCACCUUCUCACUAGAAAAGCUCAAGUUUGCAGCGACGAGUUUGCAUGUUACUACUCCCUGUGUACCGAAAUAUAAGACCUUUAAGAAAAAUUCCGACCAGAUGAAAAUGUGGACAAUUGACCAGGUUACCCCCCACCUCCGGCAGCUCGCUAAUUUCAAAUCAACCCAGAUCCAGUCGCCCCCCACCUCCGGCCAGCUCGCUAAUAACCCAGAUCUCACUACUCUGCUUGUCCGCUCCCUCCUCUGCCCCAGCUUGUCCGCUCCCUCCUCUGCCCCAGCUUGUGCGGCCCCUCCUCUGCCCCUACCUCCUCUGCCCAGCUCGUCUGCUAGCUACCAGCAGCUUCUCCAGUAGCCAGCGGCAGCAGCUCCUCCGGCAGCUAGCAGUAGAUCCAGCAGCUCCUCCACCAGCCAAUAGGAACUCCAGCAGCUCCUCCACCAGCUAGCACGAGCUCCAGCAGCUCCUCCACCAGACACCAGCACCAGCUCAUCCACCAGCCAGCGGCAGCCCCUCUGUCUGCCGGCAGAAGCAGCUCUUCCGCCUCUGCACUCCCAGCUGCCUCAACGAGGUCCUCUCCCAGUGAUGCACCCAUCGCCCAACAGAUCGCCGGAGGUUUUUCUUUUGAUCCAGGGUGCAGAUCGCCACAGGAGGUCCUAGUGGUGUUGGAUCCUGCUUAUCCCGUCUCCUGCAAACCAAAAAAGCAGGACAAUUAGAGGGUAUUUAUCACAACUUAGCAACAGUUGAACAGAAAACAGUUUAACAACAGCAGCAAAAAUUUUAGCGAGAUCAACAACAUCAGUAGCAGCAUCAAGACAUAGCAACAAUAGCAGCAAUAGGGAGACAUAGAAGUAGCGACAUGGAGUGGCAGCAGGAGUUCAUCAAAAUCAAUAGGGAGUAGCAGCAGCAGGAGUUCAUCACAAUCAAAAUCAACAGGGAGUGGCAACAACAUGGAAUUUGACCUCAACUGUACUCCGCCCGAAGAAGAUGAGAUCAGUCAAAAUGAGAUCAACAUGGAGGACUCACAGGGAGGCAAUGAUCAUGUUGAAGAUGAGAUCAACAUGGAGGACUCACAGAGAGGCAAUGAUCCUGGUGAACAUGAUAUGAACAUGGAGCAAAUAAGGGGAGGCAAUGAUCCCCACGAAGAUGAUAACAGUAAGCACAAUAUACUCAUUUAGCAGUAACAGUGUCUCAUUUACCAAGUUUUUGAAAAUGAACAGCAAGUCUAGUUUCUGAAGAUGAACAGUAACUCCACUUUCUAGAAAUAAACAGUAAUAGUAACUCAUUUGAUCAUUUGAACAUGUGACCAUUUAAAUAUUUUAUCAAUUUAUCAUUUGAUAAUUUGAGUAGGACUAAUAUUUUUUCAUUGUUGUGUUUCUUGUUGCAGUUCUUGAGCAAGGAGUUAGAAAGAGGAAAACUCUGAGUGACCAACAAAAAUAUGCUGCUUAUGUGGCAUUGCACAUAUUAUGUAUGAGUAGAGGUGGAAAGUUCAAGAUAACGGAUAAGAAAAACCUUGCACAUUUUUUUAAUGUAGAAUUGAGGAGUAUACAAAGAGUUUGGCAGAAGGCGAUGAAGCAAAUUUCAGAAGGUUUCGAGGUGGAUGUUUCCAACCAGAAAAAAGGAAAUGUGGAAGAAAACCAAAGGACAUCAACCUAGAGAAAAUCCCUACAAUACCACUCAAUAGUAGGUCUACUAUCAGAUCAUUAGCCUGGCAACUGGGAUGUAGCCCUACCACUCUCCACAGGAAUUCAAAAUGAAGUUGAUAAAGAGGCAUACAAACUGUGUCAAGCCAGCUCUAAAGGAAAAGAAUAAGAAGGAUAGAAUGAAAUUUUGCUUGUCAAUGCUUGAUGAGGCAACAACAAAAACUGCAAGGCCUAAGUUCAAGACUAUGCAUAAUGUUGUACAUAUUGAUGAGAAGUGGUUUACGAUGACCAAGAAGAAUAAAACUUAUUAUCUGCUGGAUGGGGAGGAAGAGCCUACAAGGCCUAUACAUGGCAACUGUAUUGGCAAGGUUAUGUUCUUGACGGGCGUAGCUAGGCCACGGUGGGAUAGUGAAGGAAAUGUGACCUUCUCUGGAAAAACCGAUGAACUCACGAUAAACUGCGUGCGCUCUUUGUCCCAGUUUCAGUUCCCUUGUUCUUGCUUUUCUAUAUCCCGAUGAACUCACGAAUCCAUGAUCCAUGGUCAAUCCCCAAUAUAUAUACUCAAGCAAUAUACUCUCUCAGCAGUAUAUAAUCAAUCAUACAGGAAAGAGUAUCACUCUCUCAGCAGAAUACAUACUCACGAAUCCAUGGUCAAUAGCAGCAUAUACUCCGUGUGGGGAUUAGUCUAGCUCGUAAGCCACGGGUCCAAAUCAAGCAAUAUAUCUACACUAGAAUCUGUAGCAGAGUACACAUCUGACAAAACCGAGAGAUGUGGAGAGGAAGGGGGUAAGAGACGGAAGGGUACCUGGGUGAGGUCGCUGAGGUGGAAGCAGCCGGUGGAGCGGUCGAGGUCGCCGCUAGGGUGUCGCCGGUGCACUGGAGCUCUGCCAACUCGUCCCCAACUCGACGCCCAGCUCGACGCCCAGUCCGGCGCCCAGCUCGAUGCCCAGGUCGACGCCGUCAUUGCUCGGGCUCGGCUUCAGCGCCUCCUUCACCCUGUCCUUGCUCGCCCAGCUCGUCGGCUUCUUGGUCUCGACGAGGCUCCCGCUGAAGUACUCCACCCCCGCCGCCGCAUAGACGAGCAACCCAACUGAGGGCGCCCGCAGCUCCCGCUGAAGUGAUCUGCUAUGUCCAGCACCACUCCGUCAUCCAUAUCCAACAUCGGCGCCCACACCAGCUCUGUCGAUGCAAAACAAACACAUUUUUGACCUUUGAGUGGGAAAGGAAGGAGAGGAAGCACGCAGUGGGAAAGGAAGGAGACAACACACGCGGUGGGCUGUGGGAGGAAGAACGCGGUGGGCUGUAGGAGGAAGAACGGUGGGCUACGGUGGCCGGCGACGACGUAGAGAGGCGACGAGGGAGGGGAAUGAGAGGGUGUGAGAUCUGGGCAGCGAGUGGAUGAGAAUGGGCAGGUGGGGGCAUUUUCGGAAACUCGGAAAGUUUCGUAGUGUCGCGAGAUUUACACUAGAAUCGCUAAAACGUCUUAUAUUUCGGUACAGAGGGAGUACAUUGGAGCAGACCUGUGCAGAUUCGUACUCCCUUCGUUUUUAUUUAUUCUGUAUAUCAGGUUUAUAUAAUGUCAAACCUAAAUCCUUUUAACAAAUUUGUAGAAAAAUAUAUCAACAUAAUCCCUUCAUUUCACAAUUUAGCGCUCGUUCGUGUGCUUUUCGAGAUCUAAGUUUGACCAUACCUUUAAACAAGAAGACCGAUUGCUAUGGGAGCAAAAAUUGAAUCACUGAAUUUGUAUUGAAAUUAAAUACUGAAUUUGUAUCGAAAAUAUAAAUUCAUUGGUAUAAUUUCUGUUGCCACCGCAGUCGGUCUCGUUGGUGAAAUUUAUGGUCAAACUUAGACCUCAAAAAACGCGAGCGCACUACAUUGUGGAACGGAGGGAGUAUACACCAUCAAAUCAAUAUCAUUGGAUUCAUCAUUUCAUAUAUUUUCACAUCAUAUAAAUUUAUUAUUGUAAAUGUUCAUAUCGUUUUCUACAAAUUUCAUCAUACUUUAGAUAGUUUGACUUCAGACAAAACUAAUAUGAGGAGUAAAUAAAAUCAGAGGGGUACCACUCCUAGUAAUUAAUGUGUAUAUCCACUAGCUGCUGAUUGACAUUCAAAUUCUCCACUUGACGAUGGCCAGAGUAUCUGAUAUUCAAACUCUCCACUUGGCCACCUUAUUUCUUCUCCCCAAAUGAGCUAUGAACUGCUCAUUCAUCCAACAUUAAAAUCACUGUGAUGAAACUCUACUCUUUCAGUUUCAUAAUUAGUGCAUAUAGUUUUUCCCCAAAAAACUAAACUUUGACAAAGAUUAUAAAUAAAAAGUCUAUAUCUAGCACAUUGAAUACAUACCAAUAGAUUCGUCAAAAAUAUUUGCAUAUAUUAUAUGAUGGUAUUGUGGAUAUACAUAGAGUUAUCUAUAAACUUGGUCAGAUUUUACAAUGUUUGACUUUUCUAUAAAACCAAUAUGCACUACACUAGGGGAUGGAGGGAGUAUCGUAUGAAAUAUUAUGUGGAAUUAUUCCGUUUCAGACAAUGUUUGGUAUCAAACACAACAGGUACAAUGUUCUAUAGUUUCUCCAAUGUGCAGAAUUAUUAGUUGAAUUGGCAAUUAUUUACAGGAGGGGAGUGCGCUGGUGUGACCGAAAACUAAGUGGAUCGAUGUAUAACAAGCUUCUUUUGGUCGGCAUCAAGACGGUGUUCCUCAUUGUCCGAAUCGAGGACCGGAGUGCAGUAAAUUUUACCAAUCUAUGAUGCGCUCUGGGUGGAUGAAACUGCUCCAAAAGUUGCCCGAGUUCAACGACUCUGUGGUGACCUACGAAUCCGGCGAGCGGCAGAAGUUGCAAGACGUCAGGUAUGAUAUCGUAGGCAACAAUAGUGACCAGUGGAGUGACAUCCUCGACACACCCAAGGGCACCCGCACCUUUAAGCUUCCCUACCCGAUGUACUAAAUCGGCUAGGUUGAAUGCUAGCUAAUCGUCCACGAAUAAGCUCCAUGUUGUUCACUAUCCAUGCUUUGUGAUUACCUUUUUUCCGGGCAUGCUUCCUCAAUACUAAUCCACUAUUACUGCUAGUUUUCUAAUUUCUAUUGAGAAAUCUAUUGCUGCUUGGUUAAAUUCCAUAGUUGGGACCUUGAGUCAGUUACUAGUAUUAAUAAGGUAUGCUACAAAGAAAUUGCAUCUUGCAUAAUCAAUGAAUCGAUGCUCCAUUUUUCCUUGAUUAUAUAAUAUAUGUAGUUUCUAUUUUACACUUUGAUUUAUUUAUUUUUUACUUUUAAUAUUUCCUUUUUUUUCAUUUUCUAGUUUUAUGUUUUAUUUUUUUAUUUGAUCUCCCUUAUGUAUUUAUUUUCUUAUUUUAUUCUUUAGAAUGCUUUCUAUUUGUAAAAAAUAAUGAAUUUUUCCAUACCCUAAUAGUUAAAAACAAUUCCGGGAUAUUAAAAUUACGAUGAACAAGGUCCUAAUAUACGUCGAGAUUUUCCCAAAUACCUGAUGAAUAGUUUUUAUAUGUUUAAGUACAUUUAUAAUUUUGUAAUUACACCAUCAAAUUUAAAUAUAUUUUAAAUAUUUGUUGAAUGCACAAAAAGCAUUUACUAAAUAAUUCGGAACAUUUGCUAUUACAUUGUGAACAUUUCUAGAAUACACAUUGAACAGUUUCCAAACCAUGAUGACUUUUCUAAAUAUGCAUUAUAAAAUUUUCAGUUACACGAACUAAACUGUUUUACCCUGAAUUAUUAUUAUUUUUAAAUUUGUUUUUUCUUAGAAUUAUAAAUAAAAUUAAAUUGAAGUGUUUCAGAGUAUAAAGGACAGAACGGGUAAAAACAAUGACAGAAAAAAUAAAAAUUGCAUUGGGUCGGGUCAUUGUGGAAUACUAUGGGCGAGCCCAAAGGAGUGUUCAUUACUGGUGAAUUAUAGUAGCAACGUGAGGGAAAGUGUGCUUCUCAGCCCGAGCUCAAAUGAGCUCUGGUGAACAGUAAAAUCCAAAAAUAAUUAAAAAAAUAUGAAAUUGUUUGGUGAAAGAAAUUGAAAAUAGUCGUAACUGCCUCCAAAAUUGUAUUAUGAAAUAACAUUUAUUGAAGCCAUGGAGAAAACAAAAUCGAUACUCCAAAAUGCUUUUGAAAUUAGUAUUUUCAGAGUAUCGAUUUUGUUUUUUUGCCACAUGUCACACAAAUGUGAUUUUCUGAUGAAAUCUUGCAAGAUAUUAGAACUUUUGCCAAUGUUUAUCACAAAAAAAAAUAGAUUUUUCUGGAUUUUUUUAAUUUAGUUUUGAUUUUACUGUUCAUCAAAGCUCAUUUGAGCUCGGGCUGAGAAACUCCACAUCCCAACGUGAGCGCCUAUUUGGUGUCGUGCUCAUUUCUGGUAGCCGACAAACUGAGUGGUUUUGUGCGUGACGUAAAAGACACAAAACAAUCAGGGCACUUCGAAGGAAUCAACGUUGUGUCCUUUCACAGGGAAUGCGUGAUGCUAGUUGCUGGCCACUCGUGCCAACAAUUUUUGCUAAUAGAAACACAACAACAAUGUGCAGGAAAUUACUGCAGCGGUGAAUUCCAAAUAUUUUCUAAAGUACACAAAUAUUUCAUCAAAUCUGAACGUUUUUUGAAAAAUCACAGUAUUUUUAAGAUGCCCAAUAUUUUUUUUAACUUUUCAGAAUAUUUUAAAUUUCAAACUUUUUUUUUAAAUUGCCAAACAUGUUUUGAAUUUGUGGACAAAACUUUUGAACAGAGAAACAGUUUUACAACAUCUGAAACCUUUUUUGGAACGCAAUAAGUUUUUCCAAAUUUCCAAGCAUUUACAGAAAAUGGAACAUAUAUUGACCAUUUCCAAACAUUUUUCAAAAACAUGAAUACUUUUUGAUUUAUGAACAUCAUUUCAAAACAGGAACAUUUUUUGAUAAUUCUGAACUAUGUUAGAAAAUGCGAACAAUUUUUGGACGUUUGUUGAGAACCCAAUCAUUUUUAGAAGAAAAACAAUUAUUAAAGUUUCAGACAUUUUUUUACUUGUGAAGUAAUGACCAAAGAAAACCAUAAAAUGUAAAACAACCGAAAAUAAGGAAAAAAGGAAAGAAAAAGUUGAAAAAAAUAAAAAUAUGAAUAAUAAAAAAUAAUAAAUUCUGGAAAGCAGUGAAAAAUAAAUCACAAAACGGAGACCAGUUUAUACGUCCUGCUGCUAUAUGACAAAGUAAAAAAUCUAAAAAGAAAAUCCCACAACAAAAGCUAUUUGACAUACCGAGCGUCAUAUAGAAAAUUCAAACAACAACCACCACAGAACGCUGAUACAGAUGACGGGCAGGUGGAUGUUUCUCAGAAUCAGAUUUUGAAGAAUCAUGAGGCGAAAAGAACUGGUGCCUGCAAUCGGCCGUGGCAUGUACACAGGUGCUAGUAAUGAUAUAAAUCACGGAUAUUGAUUUUGAAGGUCGAGCUCCAUGGAGGUCUUUGAAUGCAAAAUUCAAAAUUCAUGAAAAUAUUUUUUUUUUAUAUUUCGAAAAAUUCCGUAACAAAUACAGAGAUAGAUGAAGGCAUAAUACACAAGUGUGUAAAUUUUUAGGACCAAAUACGUUGAAAUAAGGCUGUACAAAAAAGGCAAAUCUGAGGUUGUUUAACACAUGAUACUAUUCAUCCUCUCGGAACAUGAUUUUAUAUUUUUAUACAGGUUGCAUUUCAACGUAUUUCAUCCUUGUUUAGUUUUAUAAUUGUUUUCAAAAAAUCUGAGGAUGAGGCAUAUGUCUCACAUCCUUGUUUAGUUGUAUAAUUGUUGUAAGAUUUUUUUUUUAAUUUUGAACUUUUCAAAAAAUCGGCCUCGGCCAAAACGCCUUUCUCUAUAAAUCGUGAUUUGUAUACUGGUAAGAAGAAUGAAGCAAUGCAUAUUCAACUAAACAAACUACAUAUUGUCUUGAAUUCACUCAUUUGGAAUCUAGCUAGAAAGGGUGCUUUUUAGGUGCCCAGAUUUUUUAAUUUUUUUGAGGGAAGUGACGAGGUUCUUGGGAAGAAAAGAUUUAACAGAUUCAUUGGUUUUCACAAAGAGAGCAAAUCAAUAUGAGCGCAGAAGCAAUCGAGUUUUGCCAUUAUUAAGCAACAACAUGACAUACAUGAUACAACUAGAGGUACAUAUAGCUAAAUUAGCGGAAGCCCUUUGUAUUGGUACUGCUCGCCGAGCUCCGCGAGCAGAUCGUUUUCCGCCUUGAGUAUGUCGCCCAUGUUGUCCAGCAGGAGGUACUUGUCCAGCGAGAAGCCCGACUCCGGCGAGAUGAGCGCCGCGACGUUUCUCAGGAACUCCUCGUCUAAUGGGGCAAGGGGCUCCCACUUUUGUCCCGACGUCAGCAGCGGCUUCUGAGGUCGCCGCCUCACGACCUUCAUUUUCUUCUUCUUCAUCGUCAUCCUCCUCUUCUCCCCUCUUGCGGGCGUCGGCGACUUCGCCCCCGCCUCCGUGUUCUCACACGAUGAACUCGCCAUGAUUCUUCUCCCGUCCUUCUUCCGCUGAGAAGAUUGGUCUGCUCUGCUGGUUUCGCAGACUUGCGUGCUCGCCGGCACCGGUAUAAAUACAGCAAAAAUAAGAGAUCGAUGAUUCAUUUCUUGGCUAGGGGAGCAGUUCGUUGUAUCCGACUCGUAUUCAGUCCACGGUUCCGGUUCCUACUCCCGCAUGGUCGACGCAUCGGUUGGGAUCCUAAUUGGGACGGCCCAAUGGUAGGUUAUUUUAUAGUAUUUUUAUGUAUAUUGUCUAUAAGGACGUUACUGCAUCAAAAAGAAAAGUAUAAUGGCUCUGCAUCUAGUCUAGUUGCUGAAGCGUGUGCGUCGAACAGCUUCCCCAUCGCUUAGUGACAGUUCAUGAAAUCGUGUGCGAUGACCAUUUCUAUGGAUUUUUUUUGCAUGAUAAUAUGUGUCUCAUUUAUAUCAUAAUGAAAAUAAUACAAGACCAUUGUUGUGGAUUAUAACAACACAUAUACACAGCCAAAUACAAACCCUACGGUCUUGGUCACAAUAUAGUGGUACAGGUGUCCAUUAGGACAUAUGUCCGUGUGUUGCAACGGAAAAAAAAUUAAUUUGUAUUUGCAAGCACAACACGUCAUGCUCCGCUACGAAAGAACGCUAGUUACCACAUGACCAAAACGACCAUCGAUGCAUCACUACAUCCAGAGAGUGUCACCACCUGCAGGGAGGCGCACGUCAAAGCCUUCAACAAACGCGGGGACUAUGUUACUCCCUUUGUCAGACAUUAUUAGGCUGGUGGACCACUUAGCCUCAGCCGGACAUUAAUCAUGAAGUGAGCCUUAGCGCAGAUGGUAAAGAUAUCUUCAACGUGACGAUGUGGCGUUGUGGCUCCCUGGCCCAGAUCUUCCCACCAAUGAAUAGUAAAAUCGACAAAAAAUAGAAAAAAUGAUUUUUUUUUUUGGAGUGCAAGAUGUUCCUUUGGGUGAUGUCAAAAACUGCUUGGAGCUGAUUUUUAUUUUUUUUUGCCAGACGCUCCUCGAAUGUCCAAAUACCUCGAAAUUUUGCAGACAUUUUAGCAUCUUAUGAGCCAAAAAGGAUUCAGAUUUUUUUGAUAUUGUGCUUUUCACCGGAUGCAGAUGAGCCGGGGACCAUUUUGAUUAUUAUUAUGGCUAAUCUAGUUUAAAUGUGUCAUUGUUCAUGUAGCCCACAAUCAUUUUUUCUUUUAUUGUUUGAACACACCACGUCCUUCAUUUCUUUUAAAGGUUUCCUUGCAUGUCUGCUCGUCGUGCAGUUCAUUCCUUUUAAUUGUCAUUCCUUUUAAUUGUCCGCUUUUAGCAUCCAUUUUUAACUGUCUUGCUGAUAUUCCAAGCAAACCGCAAGGUAUAUAAACCGGUAGGGAUCUAUCUAAAGAGGCAAGGUGGGUUUAUUUAACAUAAAAUAUUGAUGUCGAGUUAUUUUUAAAAAAACAGCCUCAACUUUAUUAAUUAGAGAUAAUUGUUACAUCGUCUAUUAAAAAAGAUACAAUAUUUUCCAAAGGCUCCUCAAUCCACUCACUCGUAUCAGAACUCUUUGCUAAUCUAGCAAGCUCAUGUGCUACUUCGUUCGCUUCUAGUAAAAAAAAUUCAGAAGCCAUAGAAAAACAAUCCUCAAAGGUUGCAGCCGCCGCUCCCGCAUAGUACCCUCCCUUGUUCAUUGUUUCAAUUACUUCCGAGAAUAUUGAUGUAGAGUUGGUUAGUGCAGUUGCCUUACCCUGGACAUGGAGUAUUGAGUUUAAUCUUCCAUAAAUACAUAUUUUUGUACACGUUGUUCGUGGCCCAUGGCAGACGGCCCAAUAUUGUAGCGAAGCCCAGCAGUGCAGCAACCUGACAUGGUACGAUAGAUGGUGAGGUGUAUGCGUGCUAGCAACGUAAGAAAACGGCCAGGGAGAGGCAAUGUAUGUACAAUAUUUUUAACCAUGGAUUCAAGCUCGUAAAAUUUUGAGACUUUUCCAUAAAACUGUAUGACAGACUAAGAAUACAUAUUUUCUUAAUUAGUAGGUAUAGAUGCGGCAAGUGGAUUGUUUCCUGGUUUUGGGAAGUUUCCAUAAGCUUUUCAGACGGUUUUUCAUUUUUUCUAUUUUGGGGUUUUCCUGUACCAAUCUUGUCUAUUUUUUAUUUUCUACUUAUUUUCAUUUUGCUUUAUUGCAUAUUCUUUUACUUUUUUUCAUUUUCCUUUUUCUAUUUAAUUUUGGCAAAACACGAAUUGUUUCAAUUUUAUGAUACUUUUUUUAAUUGAGGAACUCCUUUUCGAACUCGUUUUUUCAAGUUCAUCAUUAUUAUUUUUUAAAAUUAUCACCUUUUUAAAAAAUAUAUGAACUAUUUUUAAUGUUUGUGAACGCUGUCUCAAAAUUGAUGAACUUUUUUCCUAAAUGCUGAAGUUUAUUUUAAAACUGAUGAACUUAUUUUAAUAUUUGAUGAUCUAAUUUUAAAACCGGAGAAUGUUUUUGCAAAAUAGACGAACUGUUUUUCUAGCAUAUGUACCUUUUGAAAAUUCAUGAACUUUUUUUCAAUUUUUGGGCUUUUUUUAAAAGUUGAUGAGCUUUAUUCAAAAUCGUGAAAUAUUUUCCAUCUAUGUGCAACCUCUUUUUUCAAAAUCAUGAACAUUUUCGAAUUGAUGAACUAUUAACAGAGAUUAUACGCAUGACCUUUUUUGAAUUCGCAAACUUUUUGUUGAAAUAUCUGCAUUCUAUUUGAUUUUCUGAUUAUUAUUUUCAAGCUAGCGAGCGUGCUCGUGGGCUCACCCAUGCUAGCAAUGGUGCGAGCUGGCACUGGCGCAAAACGCGUCAAUUAGGAAGAGCAACUAAUUAAGGAGUACUCGUCCGAGAGCCUCUCGAAGGGUCCAUUGCCACGUGUCGUACUCUUGGUGUUUCCUUUGGAUUUUUUUCUAUACAUAUUUAUGUCUGGAAUUUUGGCUUUAAGAUGAUUUUGUUUUCCGGGUUUUUUUGGCUUUUCCGUUUACCCCCGAUUUUUCUUACAAUUUAGACCCAAAAAUAAGAUUUUAAAGAAAAAUCACAAAAAAAUGCAUUUUCUCUUUCUUUUUUCCUACCCUGAGAGACAUGGAUUUGCUUCUCUUAGAGGCACAUGUGCCUCCUGAAAAAGCAAAAAAAAUGUUUUUUCCUUCCGCGAGGCAAGGUCGUGCCUCUCAGAAAAGAAAAAAGAUCCAUUUUUCCUUUCACGGAAGUACGGAUUUGCUUCCCUGAAAGGCCUAGUCGUGCAUCUUGAAAAAGGAAAAAUGCAUGUUCUCAUGAAGGAAAACAACGUGGUUUUAGUUUGGUUUUUUUGUUUGAUUUUUUCGUGAAAAAAAGUCCAACGAAACAUAUCAACAUGUGGUCUAGUUUUUAAGAUCUCGACGCAUGGAAUCUAACGGCAAAACCAGUUCUAGAUUUGGACGUAGGUUUUGAGAGAUAAAAUGUUUUGAAUAAACAAAUCUGCGAAAAAGGAAAAACCCUUAGGUUGCUACAAGUGACGCACAUGCAGUUGAAGACUUGUCGCACCCUGGGUUGGGGGAGUGAUCUUUGCCAAGAGUAGUUUUCAAUUAGUGAUUUCGCUAAUUAGAAGCUCGCAUCAUCUCCGAUGCGAGCACUAGUGGAUCAGCCCAUGUGCGCUCAUAUGGGUUUUUUGGAGCGGCUUUUGGAAGCUUCUAUGGAGCUGUUUAGACAAAUUUGAAAACCUUUCAUUCAUUUUUUAUGUGUUCACUAUAUAGAUUUACAUGGACUAAAGUAAAAUGUAGAUUUACAUUAUUUUUUCCCUUAGUUUUCUUUGUGUGUUUUUAUUCAUUUUUUGAAUACACAUGGAAUUUUUGGAAAUACAGUUCGAAUAUUUUUUGUUUACAUGUUAUUUCUUUUAUACACGUUGAUGAUUUUUGUAGACACAUUUAAGUGUUUUCCAAAAUAAACAGUAUUGAUUUGUCAAAUGAACAUUGGAUUUCUUAUGAAUAUAAGGUGAACAUUUAUGAAACACCCAUUGAACAUUUAGAAAAAUUCCAUGAACAUUUUUUUCUUAAAGCAUGCAAAACAGUUCUUAAUGUUAGAACAUAUUUUUUAAUGUCAAAGACAUUUUUGUUGAAUGGUACAAAAUAUUAUUUAAAAUUACAAGACCAUUUUUACAUACUAGAAACAGUUGUGGAAAAUGUUAUGACCAUAUUUUUGAAACGGCUGAAUAUUGUUUAAAUUUCAUAAAUAUAUUUAGAAUGGUAUGUCAAAAGUUUAAAAAUAUGUGAAUAUUGUUUCUACAUUGUAUAAAAAAUUUAAAAACUGUCAUGAACAUAUUUCUGAACACAUGAACUAAAUGUCAGGAACAUUUUUCGAAUGGUACAAACAUUUUUAAAAUUGUGGAGACAAUUUAUUACACUACAUGAACAUUUAUUUGAAACACGCAAUGAACAAGGGGUAAGGGACACGUGUCAUGUGCUUUGCUAGCGCAUCGUGGUUGCUGAGUGUCUCAUUCCUUUGUUGUUGAGUUUUGUUUUAGUGCGGAGUGUUUUUACAGUAUACUCGAGAAAGAUCCUACGUUACGAAGGAUGUGUUUGGUAGGCGUUUCUAGCGGGACUGGCUCGUGGACAUUGGCUCAACAAAGUUUGGUUGAGAUAAAACGAUCAUAAAACUAACAUCUGCAUUUAGUUUGGUUGCCGGCAUACAUUCUAAACUGAAUGGGGUGUCAUGAAAGACAUACUAUUUGGUUGUCUGUUUGUGUAUGCGCAAACACAAGGCCUACUAUUUGGCUGCAUGCAACACUUGUUGUGAGAUAACCUCUUCGAUGCGGUGGUGAGGUUACCAUCACAUAGCGGCGUCAGGAAGAACACACAACAUAACAUAGUAGUAAGCAGUUAUAAAUAUUGUGUCACAUUUAAAUAGAUUAGUUUAAAUGCAAAGCAGUUCAAUAUUAAACUAAAGCAACUAGAGCAUAUGAGCGGUUGUCCUAGACGUUCACAACGAAGGCAUCGUCAUGUCUCCCGCACCAGGCCACCACUUUACUGCCAUCGUCAUUGAAGACGAUGACCUUCACCAUGUCGGGAGUCAUCAACUGUGACCAUGAAGCCUAUCUUGAUUUGUUGGACGGCGACGAAGGUGGCCCAAACCUGGUCGAGGGUGACCCUUUCGUUCAACAGACGGACAAUGACCCUCCUAGAGCACUCGGUGUUCGCCUUCAAAUUGAACUCCUGUGGCAUAGACGGGAAGUGCUUCAUGAAGUCGAGUGGCAUAGGUAUGGCCUCGAGUGGCAUGAUUACCUUGCAGAAGUUAUUUGGCUCACCCAUCUCAUGGUAGUGGUCGUAGUUCUGACGCUUGUCGCUGGGGGGCUCCUCCGCGUAUCGUUGUCCGUGACCGGGCUCUGGACAGGCGCCACCUUUGAGGGCGGCACAACAUCCUUGCACUUGUAUUGCUCCUUUGGUGGCACCACCUCAUUGCCCUUGUUCUCCGUGUCGAUUUGCAGUGUGAAGAGGUUCAAACGAUUGGGUCAGGAUUUGCAAUAUGAACAUUGCAUCAUUGUCAUUAACUUAUUGUCGAGAACCCCAUUAUUUACCUAGGCUGAUGGUUACCACUUACCCACCACCUAGUUGUUUGUCUCUCUUCCUCCAACCCAAUGCCAUGAACUCUAAGAACAAGUCUAACCCCAUCCGCAACCCCUUUCCUUGGGGCAUUGGAUGGAGGGCCUUCUUCCUAGGGUGCUCGCUCGAUGACCGCACCAAGUUUGAGAACACCAUGAAAGUGUGUUCAAACUUCAACAGCUUGGAGGAGCAGUACAAAGAGUAGGACGCUAUGGUGAAGAAGGCGAGUCGGAGGAGUUGAAGACGCUGAUCAGUGACCCAAUGAAGGGUUCUAUGUGAGCCGACAUACUUCAUUGAGCCAUGAAUCAAGCCGUCCCCGGCGACGCUGGACAGAGGGAAAACUGAGCCAAGUACAGACAGCAUCGGUGUUCUUAUGACCACGGGGCCGCAACGUACUUCACCACAAAGAUUAUGGUGGUGCCGGUGGAGGAGCAUCAAGAAGUGCUGGCUAUGGAGGUGGAAGAGGAAGAUGCAGUGGCGACGAUUGUGAGGGCGCUGGAGCUAGGACACCUAAGCAUGCCAAUCAAGUUGGACUCCGGCGAGGAAGAAGAUAUGGUGGUGUAGGUCGAGGAGAAGACCAAGGCCAAGGCUACCCACCGCUCCAAUCGCCUCCAGGGUCCUGUGUACUAUGUAAGAUGAACCCUAAUCCCCAUUCCGAUUGUACUCAAUCCUGAUUGGGAACCUCAUAUCUACCCGUAGUCAUGACGAUGUUAUGACCACUCCUAUGGUGUUUACCCCGAUUCCCCAUUCUCCUAACAUGGAUCGAACCUAAACUCGGAUCAAAUGCAAAGUAGUACAUGAGGAGGGGGGAAAGUGCUUACCGCCAUUGCCGAAGUGCUGCUGUGGAUGCCGGUGAAGAGGCCGGAGUCGAUUUGCUGUUCCUCGAUCUGAUGCACGCCAUCGCCGCCGUCGGUGAGAGUAGGGAGAGUGGAAAGAGAGCGGUGAGAAAAGGUAAGGGUAAUGACUGUCGACGCUUCGGGAAACAACGCGGCUUCUCAAGGGUGGCUCCCCUUGUGCAACCCCUGCCGCCCACGUGCAUCGCAGAGGCCUGGCUCGCGAGAAACUACCAAUUCGAACGUGCCUCGCGAGACAUACCCAGACAUGCUUUAAAGUUCGUGACAUGCAGGCCCAACAAUGUAUGUUGACAACCAAUCAGUUUGUUUUCUUUCCACGGGCCUGGUUGGACCUUAUGCGGGCAACCAAACGCAUCCCCAAGUGUUGUUUAUUUGUCGGAAUUUUCUAAGGUACUGGGCAAACGACAUGUGUACUGAGUGCCCAUGAAAUUACACCAGGCAAACUGUAAAAUACUCAGCGUAAUUUUUUUCCUGUAGUUGUACAAUUGGCUGCGCUGCAGUUCCAAAUUUGAUAAAGUUACAAGGUUGGUGUACCAGAAAUUCAUUAUCUACCAAUCAUCAAUAUGUAUGCACAAAACAGUUGCCUGUCUGGGCCUUUGUAUCAACGUCCAUCCAUGUGUAACACGUUCAGCGGAACCGUCUACCAAACGUCUGACAGACACAGACACGUGCAUAUCCUCCAAACCGGGCAGGCUGGUUGCUUGCGCCCUCGUCGCUUUCUUGUCGAACUGGCUCCAUAUAUAGACUAAUGCACACCACAGUUCAAUUUCCAUUUUCGUUUCAGUCAUCGUACAUAUGACUGCAUUAUUCAGCUAACGUUUAAGCAUAGGGAUUUUUAUUUUCAUGUCCCGUCUUUCUUAGUUAUGAUUAGUUUUGCCCCGUUCAUUUAACAUUGCUCACUUUUUUCCCUUCUUUACUCAUCUACGCCUCGUAAAAGAUCAAACGGUGUGUUGACAUUGGGUUAGACCAGGGGCGGUCCUCAGAUUUUGGGGGCCCGGGGCUGGAUUAAAAGCCGGGGCCCUUAAUAUAGACAUAAUAACAAUAACACUGAAUAUACGUACCGGUGAAAUAUAAACACUUAAAUACGUCUAAUACUAAUAUGCAUAUCAAAUGUUUUAAAAAUAUUACCUCAAACAAUAAUUCUGACAUACCUUGAUGCAAAGGCCAUUAUGAUGGCGUCGAUGUUAAUAGCGUCCAAUAAUUUCUUCUCGAUGACAUAAUGUCACCAGACCAUAUAAACACUCUUGGUUCAUCGGUGACCUCACAUAGUUCUUCAAUCAAUAUUUCCAACUUCAGAGAGCUUCUUCCGACCAAUACGAUAGUCACAGGCAUAGUAAAUAGGAUGCAAUAAGCAAUGGAAAUAUCAGGAUAACAGCCAACUUCUAUUGACAUGCUGCAAAUCUCCAUUGCAGAUAUUACAGUCAUAUGGCAGAAUGAAUCCCACAAUUUUUAAUUUAGAAGUAAGAUCAUACUCCCUCCGUUCCUAAAUAUAAGACCUUUUAAAGAUUGCACUAUAAACUAUAUAGGAUGUACAUAGACAUAUUUUAGAAUAUAGAUUCACUCAUUUUGCUCCGUAUGUAGUCUCCUAGUUGAAUCCCUAAAAGGUCUUAUAUUUUAAAACGGAGGGAGUAUAUCUCAACAUCAUGAUACACAAUGCUGACAAAUAACAUUAAUUGUUGAACAAUAUCGAUGUACCGGCGAUGCAUCUACAGAAGCACAAUAAGAAUAUAUGAUAUACGUACCUCGGAUGGCUGAAUCAGCCAUGACGGAAAAUCAAAGCCGGAUUAUAGGACGCCCCGACGAAUUGAAAUCGACGGCGCGCAGCUGAUGAUCUAAAUUAGGAAAGAAAUUAGGUUUGGGAGAAAAGUAGAAAGGAGGGUCGAGCACGCAGUGGCGAACAGACGAUGCGUCGGCGGCCGCUAGGAAUCGCUGCGUCAAUGCGAGAUGGAAUAGGAAGGGAUCAAUCACUCCUAUUUUUUCGUGAAAAAACGGAAGGAACGGUUGCUGCCUUUGUGCCUCGCUGGACUGCUGGGUGCAUGUUUGCCUGCAUGCUACGUGAGGCCCAGUCAACCAACCCGAUAGGUCAUUUUUUUCUGAUCUGUAAAAACAUUAAAUAUGUUUGGACAAAGCCUAUGUACAUACGUGGGGAGGGCCCCCUAAACUUUGGGGGCCGGGGCGGCCGCCCCCCCCUGCCCCUCCCCUCGGCCGGCCCUGCGGUUAGACUACCAACAAUGAAAGUAACAUAGGUGGUAACAUAGAUAUCAUCUAAACAACAAAUGUGAUGUGGCAACUAAUUAAAGAAAAGUAAGAGAAAUUGAAUAACUUAGCAUGUUACUCAUAUUAGGAGUAACAUAGCGGAUACCAAGGCAAGAUGGGUGUAUAGGCUAAUAAAUAAAAGACUCAAUGUUACUACCCCUAUGUUACUAUCCACUAUGGAGGUAGUAACUUAGAUUAGUAACAUAUGUAUGUUACUCCCCAUUGGUCUUUCAGCGGCGUUCAGAGACUCCUUCAUAUUAUUAGACAUAAUUAUGUCUAGAGACACAACACACGAGGCUAUACGUAAAUCACCCUUAGAAUACCAGCGAGCUCUCGUUUAACCUACGGACCCGAUGGGCCAUGUUAAGACUGGUAUGAAUACCAGCAAGCUCGCUGACAAGGAUCCGACGACUCCAUUACCCCUCGCAUCGCUUAGAGAAAAAACCCGAUACAAGUCACCCCCUUGACUUGAUCUGGAAUUAUCUGCGAGAUGCCAUCUAUGCUCUCAUCUAUCAACAAUUUCAACACAUGUUCUGCCGGAGUUUUGGUGCUUGGAAACCAUGAGCAAACCGCUUGUCACUUCUCCCGUGAGAGAGCGUCACCGGCACAGAACACCUCCAAUGGUUUCGUGAUUGCCGAUGGCGGCUGCAGGAUUGGGGGAGGUAGGCUGCUCGGGCUGCGGGGGAUGCGAAUUGAGAGAGAGAGAGAGAGAGAGAGGGAGGGAGAGGGAGAGGAAGAGAGAGAGAGAGAGAUUUCGUCCCCCUUUUUAGGACAAAUGACCCAACCAUCCACUAGCCGGUCCCACAUGUCAGCAUUUCAUGUCAGUCCCAUGCGUCCACGCGUCAACACCGGACGAAGUAACGGUCAACAGUUUUGACCCGACGGUGAGGCAUUGUUUGGCCUUUUGCGAGACGGAGGCGAGUAGAGGAGGGAGAAAAGUGAGUAAUGUUAGACGGACGAGGCAAACUGAGCACAACUAAGUAACGAUGGACGAGGCAACUUACGUAAAACCAGCUACAAUUAUAAUAGCUUUCGAUGUACACCCGUGUGAUCACCAGCCAUCUAACAACCUUUGCCGACAGUUGUCCUUCAUCCACAAAGACAACAUCAUCCAAAUAAUUCACUUGCAAUCCAGGUUUCUCUAUCAUCUCUUUGGACAUUGUGAUAUUUACUAAUUCCCGAUCCAGAGGUCUCAUACGCCAUGGCGAUGUCAUGACCAGUCUAGGAGAAGAAGCACCUCGUAAACUAGAGCGGAACAGAACCUGGGUUUUCUAGGCAUGGCCUCUCGAUAAGAAGUUGAGAAGAUUAUGGCUGAUACAUGGUGAGAUAGGAUGAGGUGUCUACGCUGCCAUACGACAAAACCCUAGUAACAGGGGAUGCUUUAUCUGUGUUAUUUUUUAAUUAAAUCACAUGAAUAAUUGGCCGUGUGUAUGUAAUUCUAUAUUAAUAUAAUAGGACACAAAGAGGCAGGUCCAUAUCAUCUCGGCCAACAAAUCUAAGAUUUGAUGGUUCAUGUUGAGCACCAAGAGACGAAAACCGCUCGCGUCGCCUCCAGGGGGCGACACGGGCGCCCUAGCCGCCGUCGCCCUCGACCUCCCUCCUCCCCCGCUUCCCCGCCGUUGCCGGAGGAGGCCGGCGAGCGAAGCUCGCCCGGCGGACGACGGACGGCGGGCCUUCCUCCCUUCUUCACGAGGGGGUCCUUUGGCUGAGAUGCGACGGCGCCCCUGGGGGUACAACAUGGAGGCGGAGUUGGCGUGCUCGGGCGGCGUGGGAUCCCGGCGGCGCUGCGGGGGCUGGCGGCGGCGGAUCUGGGGUUCCCCACCCCAGAUCGGUUCUCCUCCGGGUGGUCGGGCUCAGGCGCCGUCCAGCGGCCCUAAGCGGUGGUGGACGCGCGCGUUGACUGUCCUCCUUCACAGAUGUGAUUGGAAACGACAGGAGGUGUUGGCGUGCUGCUAGAUCUGAACAAGGUGAUGGCGUCAUCCCCUUCAUCAGGGAUGACGACCAGGUGGUGGGUUCUUGUGGCGUCGCCGGUGGCGGCGGAUCUUGGGAUCCAGUUCCCGGGGACGUCGUGGGAUGUGGUGGCCCGUGCAGGAGAGAUGGGUUCUUCGAACAGAUCUGGGUCAAAGCUUGCUUUCGGCUAUUGCUAAGGUCGGCGAUGGCGGCGCUGUCUACAUCGUUCCCUUCCUGAAGGCAUCGCCGAGGAGAACUUCAGGGCCACUCUCUGCUACCUCCUGGGGUAACCCUAGAUCAGUAGAUCGGAUGACGGCGACGCUCUGGUGUCAUUUCCCCCUUGGGGGCGUCAUUCAUGGUGGUACACACGGGCUCGAGGGACCAUUGGUCGGCAUUUACGAUGGAGCAGCGUUCCUAGUGACACAUCGACGUUGUGGAGUCUCGGCGGCGAGGCGCGGCAAAGUCUCGGCAAUGAAUGCAUGAUGAUGAGCACGCGUAGGGAGGAGGCGUUGUCUGGCGCCGUGGGGGCAUCGAUGGCAGGCCUUGCAAGGUCGAUGCGUCAGUAAUUUUUCUGAAGAUGGAUUGAUGGAAGGCGGCGACGACGACCUAUGAGGGUGCGUCGGACCGUUUGUGCCCCUGACCCGGUAUGUGGCUCUGUCGGGGCCUCCGGCUUUAGAUGUUAGGCUAGGUGAGAGGUCUGGGUAUGUGGCUCACACUUUCUGCACCCCCUUCAUCAUUGUAUAUGAGUAGCGACAGAUGUUGCCAAGAGGACGGCUUCAGACAUACGCUUAACACUCUAGCUAAUUGACCACCAGUAGCACGGGAGAGGUGUUUUGGCUCCCGGGUAUAUGCACUCGGAUGAACAGUACUGCGAAAAAAGUUCUAAUUUUUUUUGUAGAUGAUUGUAUUAGUGUCGCAAAUAUGCAUGACAAUUUUCGUGCGAUAAGGAGCAACGGUGUUUCAUCAGCAAAAAAGACAAAUUUAGGAUGACAUUUUGGGGUAACUUUUGGUGUUCAAUUUGUUUUUCUUGCACAAACCAAAAUGUUUUAUCUUUUUGUCUCAAAAUUUACAAGUAGUAUUUGGAUGUGACAAAGCAUACAAACAAAUUUUGUCUCAUUUUUUUCCAUUUCAAACUUUUUUUUGGCCCCGAAAGCAUAUGCCGGGAGCCGAAUUGCAUUUCCGCCGGUAGCACUAGUUACAUACACACUAGACUCCGCGCAAUCCCAUGAAAUCUGUUUGGCGAUUAACAUACGGCUAAAUAUCAACAUGCAAAUAUUAUCUUACCAAAUGUACCAAAUGUGUAACUAGUAUCUUAAUUCUACUCCCUUCAUAAACUAAUAUAAAAACAUUUAAAAACAAUGCUUUAGUAAUCUAAACGCUUUUAUUUAAUUUACAAAAGGAGUGCUACCUAAUAUCAACAUGCAUUGCACCAACUCCCUUCAAGGUCUAAUGCGUUUUUAGGGUUGCCCUUGACUAUUGAUAAGAUUAAUAAUAUAUGAGAUCUAUGAUAAAGAGUCUUUUCACAUCCGAAUUUGACAAUAUACCUGUAACAUGCAAGUUAUAUAUAUAUAAUUGCUCUAACCCGUGGCCAAAGGAAAUCUUGCAAAAUGUAUCGGAUGAAGGGAGAACAUGAUAAUACCAGUCUAACAAAUAUAUCCUCUCCAAUCGCAAACAUUUAUCCCCUUGGAUCACAACCAUGCAUACCCCUUUUGAGUACUCCCUCCGUCCCAAAAUUAAUGUCGAGCAUGUAGUUCAUUGGGAAUUUUGCAAAAAAAAACCUCGUAUUUACAAAAUCGUCUCAAACAAGCACCUCCACCCCUAUCUUCUUCGUCCGUCCUCGCCCGUGCAUCGCGAGAGGCCGCGCCGUCGAACUGGAAGGGCUCCGCCGCCGUCGCCGCCAAUUACCUCCUCCAUCACCACAACCCAGAUCUGCGCCACCGGAUCUCUUCCCGCUGCAGUUACCUGUCGGCGUCGUUCUCGAGCUCCUGCCGGCGUCGGAACCUUCCGCCACUUCGUCCUCUGGCUCCCAUGCGUCAUCCUCGAGCUCCCGUGCAUCCUCCCCAAGCUCACGCGCAUCCUCGCUGGAAUCUCUACUGCUCCUUCUCCCUUGCAGCCGGUGUGCCUGCUUAUCCCCUGUCACCGGAGGAGCUCCUCUGCACGUACUUGUUGGAAUUAUGCCCUANNNNNNNNNNNNNNNNNNNNNNNNNNNNNNNNNNNNNNNNNNNNNNNNNNNNNNNNNNNNNNNNNNNNNNNNNNNNNNNNNNNNNNNNNNNNNNNNNNNNNNNNNNNNNNNNNNNNNNNNNNNNNNNNNNNNNNNNNNNNNNNNNNNNNNNNNNNNNNNNNNNNNNNNNNNNNNNNNNNNNNNNNNNNNNNNNNNNNNNNNNNNNNNNNNNNNNNNNNNNNNNNNNNNNNNNNNNNNNNNNNNNNNNNNNNNNNNNNNNNNNNNNNNNNNNNNNNNNNNNNNNNNNNNNNNNNNNNNNNNNNNNNNNNNNNNNNNNNNNNNNNNNNNNNNNNNNNNNNNNNNNNNNNNNNNNNNNNNNNNNNNNNNNNNNNNNNNNNNNNNNNNNNNNNNNNNNNNNNNNNNNNNNNNNNNNNNNNNNNNNNNNNNNNNNNNNNNNNNNNNNNNNNNNNNNNNNNNNNNNNNNNNNNNNNNNNNNNNNNNNNNNNNNNNNNNNNNNNNNNNNNNNNNNNNNNNNNNNNNNNNNNNNNNNNNNNNNNNNNNNNNNNNNNNNNNNNNNNNNNNNNNNNNNNNNNNNNNNNNNNNNNNNNNNNNNNNNNNNNNNNNNNNNNNNNNNNNNNNNNNNNNNNNNNNNNNNNNNNNNNNNNNNNNNNNNNNNNNNNNNNNNNNNNNNNNNNNNNNNNNNNNNNNNNNNNNNNNNNNNNNNNNNNNNNNNNNNNNNNNNNNNNNNNNNNNNNNNNNNNNNNNNNNNNNNNNNNNNNNNNNNNNNNNNNNNNNNNNNNNNNNNNNNNNNNNNNNNNNNNNNNNNNNNNNNNNNNNNNNNNNNNNNNNNNNNNNNNNNNNNNNNNNNNNNNNNNNNNNNNNNNNNNNNNNNNNNNNNNNNNNNNNNNNNNNNNNNNNNNNNNNNNNNNNNNNNNNNNNNNNNNNNNNNNNNNNNNNNNNNNNNNNNNNNNNNNNNNNNNNNNNNNNNNNNNNNNNNNNNNNNNNNNNNNNNNNNNNNNNNNNNNNNNNNNNNNNNNNNNNNNNNNNNNNNNNNNNNNNNNNNNNNNNNNNNNNNNNNNNNNNNNNNNNNNNNNNNNNNNNNNNNNNNNNNNNNNNNNNNNNNNNNNNNNNNNNNNNNNNNNNNNNNNNNNNNNNNNNNNNNNNNNNNNNNNNNNNNNNNNNNNNNNNNNNNNNNNNNNNNNNNNNNNNNNNNNNNNNNNNNNNNNNNNNNNNNNNNNNNNNNNNNNNNNNNNNNNNUGUUGGAAUUAUGCCCUAGAGGCAAUAAUAAAUGUGGUUAUUAUUAUAAUUCCUGUAUCAAGAUAAUAGUUUAUUAUCCAUGCUAUAAUUGUAUUGAAUGAAGACUCAUUUACAUGUGUGGAUACAUAGACAAAACACCGUCCCUAGCAUGCCUCUAGUUGGCUAGCCAGUUGGUCAAUGAUAGUCAGUGUCUUCUGAUUAUGAACAAGGUGUUGUUGCUUGAUAACUGGAUCACGUCAUUGGGAGAAUCACGUGAUGGACUAGACCCAAACUAAUAGACGUAGCAUGUUGAUCGUGUCAUUUUGUUGCUACUAUUUUCUGCGUGUCAAGUAUUUAUUCCUAUGACCAUGAGAUCAUAUAACUCACUGACACCGGAGGAAUGCUUUGUGUGUAUCAAACGUCGCAACGUAACUGGGUGACUAUAAAGAUGCUCUACAGGUAUCUCCGAAGGUGUUAGUUGAGUUAGUAUGGAUCAAGACUGGGAUUUGUCACUCCGUGUGACGGAGAGGUAUCUCGGGGCCCACUCGGUAAUACAACAUCACACACAAGCCUUGCAAGCAAUGUAACUUAGUGUAAGUUGCGGGAUCUUGUAUUACGGAACGAGUAAAGAGACUUGCCGGUAAACGAGAUUGAAAUAGGUAUGCGGAUGCUGACGAUCGAAUCUCGGGCAAGUAACAUACCGAAGGACAAAGGGAAUGACAUACGGGAUUAUACGAAUCCUUGGCACUGAGGUUCAAACGAUAAGAUCUUCGUAGAAUAUGUAGGAUCCAAUAUGGGCAUCCAGGUCCCGCUAUUGGAUAUUGACCGAGGAGUCUCUCACGUCAUGUCUACAUAGUUCUCGAACCCGCAGGGUCUGCACACUUAAGGUUCGACGUUGUUUUAUGCAUAUUUGAGUUAUAUGGUUGGUUACCGAAUGUUGUUCGGAGUCUCGGAUGAGAUCACGGACGUCACGAGGGUUUCCGGAAUGGUCCGGAAACGAAGAUUGAUAUAUAGGAUGACCUCAUUUGAUUACCGGAAGGUUUUCGGAGUUACUGGGAAUGUACCGGGAAUGACGAAUGGGUUCCGGGAGUUCACCGGGGGGGGCAACCCACCCCGGGGAAGCCCAUAGGCGUUGGGGGAGGCACACCAGCCCUUAGUGGGCUGGUGGGACAGCCCACAAGUGCUCUAUGCGCCAAGAGAAGAAAAAUCAAGAGGAAAAGGGAAAAAAAAGGAGGAGGUGGGAAAGGAGGAGGACUCCCUCCCACCAAACCUAGUCCAACUCGGUUUGGGGGGGGGAGAGUCCUCCCCCUUGGCUCGGCCGACCCCCUUGAGGGUCCUUGGACCCCAAGGCAAGGCCCCCUCCCUCCCACCUAUAUAUACGGAGGUUUUAGGGCUGAUUUGAGACGACUUUUCCACGGCAGCCCGACCACAUACCUCCACGGUUUUUCCUCUAGAUCGCGUUUCUGCGGAGCUCGGGCGGAGCCCUACUGAGACAAGGUCAUCAUCAACCUCCGGAGCACCGUCACGCUGCCGGAGAACUCUUCUACCUCUCUGUCUCUCUUGCUGGAUCAAGAAGGCCGAGAUCAUCGUCGAGAUGUACGUGUGCUGAACGCGGAGGUGCCGUCCGUUCGGUACUAGAUCGUGGGACUGAUCGCGGGAUUGUUCGCGGGGCGGAUAGAGGGACGUGAGGACGUUCCAAUACAUCAACCGCGUUCUCUAACGCUUCUGUUGUACGGUCUACAAGGGUACGUAGAUCACUCAUCCCCUCUCGUAGAUGGACAUCACCAUGAUAGGUCUUCGUGCGCGUAGGAAAAUUUUUGUUUCCCAUGCGACGUUCCCCAUCAGUACUGCUGCUGGUCAUCUGCCUGAGUUGUUGCUGCUCCUCUGCUGGAGUUGAUGCUCCUCUGCUCGAUCUACUCUGCCGCUGGUGAAGCUCUGCCCGUGGUACUGCUAUUCCUCUGCCCAUUUGCACCUGAAGAAGGUACUGAUGAAACUGUUUGUUGUUUACUGCUACCUAAAACUGCUGUUGUUUGAGAAACUGCAUUGCUUGAGAAACUUGUAAUGUUGUGGUAUCGAAAAUAAUUUUGUGCAAUACUUGUAAUGUUGUGGUAUCAAAAAUAAUUUUGUGGAGUAUCAGAAACAGAGAAGCCUGGUUCAAGGUUUUGCACUGGAAACAGAGCAGUCUGGUUCAAGGUUGUGCACUGGAAACAGAGCAAUCUGGUUCAAGGUUUUGCCUAGAUAAACCAGACCGGAUGAGAGACCAAAUACAUGGGCAAGUAGUCAAAAGAAACACAUAAUUUGCCUAGAAUCUUGUUGUCCUGUGAUGCAAGAAAAUUUCACCAUGUGUAUGUUGUGGAACGCUUACAGUUGCACAAAUCAGACAUAUCAGUAGGUUGGUUCAGGUGUUGGUUCUUGGCCUAUUAACAUAGAAAGCCCCUUUGUAACUACUAGGACAAUCAGCUUGUGUAAAGAUCAUAUUUAGAGACGAAUUGCAAGCAUUAACCUGAUCUUAACAUAUAUAAAUGGAUAUUAAGUUUUCCAUUUUAGGCGAAUACAGAUAGAGGUUUCAACUAGACCUAGUGAGAAAUGGUUCCAUGGUAGCAUUUCUUGUUUGGCUGUCGUAGCUCGAUUACAUAUUGUUUUUACGUGCGUAUAUAUUCUUGUUACAGUACCAUGGUGUACUCAUCUUUUGUCAUUGAUAGCAGGAGUAUGGAUUUGAACAUGAUACCUCAAGAGGAGGAUGAAGGUAUUAAUUUGAAUUGGAUCCCUCAAGAGGAAGAGGCUCAAGGGGGAGAGGAUGGAGGUAUGGAUUUGAACAUGAUGCCUCAAGAGGAAAAGGAUGAUGGUAUUAAUUUGAAUUGGAUCCCUCAAGACGAAGAGGAUCCAGGGGGAGAGGAUGGAGGUAUGGAUUUGAACAUGAUGCCUCAAGAGGAAGAGGAUGAAGGUAUUAAUUUGAAUUGGAUCCCUCAAGAGGAAGAGGCUCAAGAGGAAGAGGAUGAAGUUAUGAAUUGGAUACUUCAAGAAGAAGAAGAAGGUCAAGAAGGUGUACCAGGUAAACAGAAAAGAAAAGAAUUGUCAAAUAAGGAGAGGCAUGCUGUUUACUUUGCUCUGCUAGUAAUCGAGCUCAGAGAUGGAUCUGUUCAACCAAACGACAAGCUGCUAGUAUCAAUCUUGUUGAACAUACAUGUACGAUCUAUUGAGAGAAUCUGGUCGGAGCCAAAAAGCAGAUUGCCGCGGGCCAAGAAGUAGAUGUCUCCAACAAGAAGAAAGGAAGAGUUGGUCGAAAGAGAAAAGAGCUGGAUCUUGCAAGGACCUCAACAAUCCCAUUGAAUAGAAGAAGGACAAUUCGAUCUCUGGCACGGUCUCUCGGUGUGACCCGCUCAACCCUACAUCGGAGGUUCCAGUUAAAUGAGCUCAACCGCAUCACAAACACAGUCAAGACUUACCUCAAACCAGAGAACAAGAUUGCAAGAUUGAAGUUUUGUAUGUCCAUGCUCGAUGACAAUUGGAUCUCAACUUCCCAAGCUAUAUUCAAGCCAAUGACUAAUAUGGUCCAUAUAGAUGAAAAGUGGUUUGACAUGACAAGACUAAAGAACAACUACUAUGUACUUCCAGGAGAGCCUCCACCUGAGCGCACCGUGACAAACAUUAACAUCAUUGGGAAGGUAAUGUUUCUAACGGUUGUGGCCAGAUCUCGAUACAAUUAUGAUGGAGAGCUAACAUUUGACGGGAAGAUUGGUAUUUGGGCAUUCAUCAAAGAGUCUGAGGCAGUGCGAACGAGUCACAAUAGAGCAAGGGGAACGACAGUGCUGAAACCAGUGAAAGUAACGAGACCUGUGUGUAGAGAAUAUCUGAUCAAUAAGGUUAUACCAGCAAUUCAAGAUAAAUGGCCUGACGAUGAUGAGGGAGCAACAAUAUUCAUCCAACAAGAUAAUGCAAAGCCUCGCGUUCUUCCCAACGAUGAAGCUUUUCGAGAAGCUGUGGAAGAAACUGAUCUCGACAUUAAGUUGAUGCAACAACCUCCAAACAGCCCAGAUUUGAACUGUUUGGACCUCUGCUUCCACAAUUCUCUCCAGUCUCUAACCGAUUGUAGGUCACCUACAAACAUCCAGGAACUGAUACAGGGUGUGGAAGAGGAGUUUGAGAAUUAUGAUCCUCACAAGUUGUACAACAGCUUCAUCACAUUGCAAGCAGUUAUGUUUGAAAUUAUGAAAGAUCAAGGAGGAAACCAAUAUAAGUUGCCCCACUUACACAAGGAACGUCUUCAGAAUGACGGCAGAGAAAUAACAAGUGUAUAUUGUGACAGUCAGCUAGUUGCUGAUACUAGGGCCAUUCUAGAAGAAAUGCAAUAGGAAAAGGAAAGGAAGAAAAGAAGUAGUUGUAGAAAGGAAAAAAAGAAUUGAACUUAUCUGAAUUGUACUCCUUGUGUACUCCUUGUACUCCUUGUGUAUGUCUUGUGCAAUAGGAAAAUGCAAUUGGAAUCAUUUGAGAUCAAUGAUGAUACUGGUUAUCCAACAUUUCCAUCUUGUGUAUCGGAAUUCAUUUUAAUUGUUUGGACUAAUUUGUUUGAGUUUAUCUUGAGUUUAUCCAGCAUUUCCAUCUGUAUUGGAGAUCAAUGAUCUUGUGUAUUGGAAGGGUCAUGUACAUGGGGAUGUUGCCUCAAGUUUUAUUAAAUUUAUUGUUUCAGGUUUCAGUAUACAAAGAUUACUGGGGUAUUGUCUAUAGUUUGGAUAAACCAAAUAAAGUUCACAAAUCUUUAUUCCCUUUGUGCAUAAAGUUUACAAAUCCCAAGCAUAGAGUUGGGAUCAACAAAAAAAUUCUAAGCUUACAAAUCGUGAGUGCUUUCAUCUCAAAAAAAUUCUAAGCUUACAAAUCCAGAACUGGUAGCCUUCCUUAUCUCAAUUCUCUGGUACUGAUUUUUGCUCUCUUUUUUUACCUUCCUUCAACAAGUUGUUCCUUGAACUGCAGGUACUCAGGGACAGUCAACUCCUCGUCGUCUGAAUUCUCAAGUACAGUAGUACUAGUAGCUUGGUUCAGGUUGAUUCUCAAUGAUGCCCUGCACUUGACACUAAAGCCUCCAGCCUGCAGAUAUACAAACGAAAUACAGAUACAUGCAUCAGUCUGAACCUGAAGAAGAAGGAAUGCAACCUGUGAAAUGUGUGAAAUGCUCCUACCAACAGACAAUGGAUGGUUUUUUUGUUUUGAUUGGUCUUGCUCUCGGUUUGAAGAUGAAGUGGUGUUAUUUCGCUUACCGUUGAUGUUCAAGUGUAGGCUUUUGCCUGCCCAGCACCUCUUAACCAUGUCAUCUCCUUGCAGUGCGUCUGGUUCAGGCCGAGCUCCGGGAAGCGGCUGCGCAUCAGCGGCAGCAGCGUGUCCGACGUCCCCAGGUACAUGGACUGGAAGUUGGCCUCCUGUUUCUACACGAGCACCCUGAUGAAGAGGUCUUCGGGGAGAGCUGGGGCGACUUGUUGCCAUCUGGUGAGGACGUCCACGGCGCCCUGGUCGACGGACUUCGUGACGCUGAACAUUGUCACUGUCGGGGGACGGGAACGUGCUUCACCUGCCACGAGAGCACGACGCCGAAGCUCUCGCCGACGCCGUUUCCGACGCAGCCGGAGAAGACGGCGGCGGUAGGUGGAGAAAUCAUUGCUUUUUAUGAGGAAGGGGGAAGCUUGGGGAGGCAGGCGAGUCGCAACUGCGGCGGCGGAGCGGCGGGGGACCGGGGGAGCAGGGGAGUUGCGGCAGGCGGAGCUGCAGCGGGCGAGCGGCAGCUGCGGCGGGGGAGUAGGGCAGCUGCGGCGGCGAGGAGCAGGCAAGCUGUAGCGAGCGUAGAUGGGGCAUCUGUCGGAGGAGGAGGACGAGGAGCGCGGGUUUGGUCGGGAGAAGCUGUAGGGGCUUUUCGCAAAAUUACCGUCGCGACAUUAAUUUCGGGACGGAGGGAGUAGCAUCUAAUCCUUCCAAAUAACACAGAACAUACGUGUUGCACGACCCAAAUGGGGCCCGGUCAAUGACAUCAAUCCCAUAUGUCACUCUCUGCUCCUACUACCUCGCUGUCCAUUACUUCAUGGUAAAUCUGGGGACGAGGAGGACAUGGUCGUCUGUCUGGCUCUUCACCUCCCUCGGGAGCAGUGCACUCGACCACGGUUGGACUCUAACCGGUGGAAAUCCAUGGUGUCCGUUCAAAUGUCGUUUGGAUGCGCAGGGAUGAUUGCUCGAGGCGUGCGGGCGCGGCCUCGACGGACACAGUGAUCGCCGUCCAAUUCUAGUAUGAUGAUGCAACCCCUUUGGUGGUGCCUCAUCCCUACGCCCUCGGGCUCGGAGUCGAAGAUCUGCACCGGCAUGAGUUACGGUCCAUCUUCUAACAUGGAGUGGCAUACCCGUCGUGCAAGGCAAAGGCCGCGUGGCGAGACGUAGAUGCUCUAACCACAUCUAGAUGGGAUCACAUCGAUUUAUGAUAUCCCGACUUCCCGAUCAACGAGUCUCCUCUGAUCAAAACCAUGUUACCCUAAUAUGCAUGUAAAAAAGUUAGGCUAAUAUGCGCGUAAAAAAGUUGAUUAACUGCUGCUAAAAUGGUGUGAUGUGAUAAGCCGGCCCUCCCCAACAAGAAAUAAUAACAACUGCCCCCCUAUCUCUCAUAUCCAAUUUAUAUAUGAGCCGGAUAUAGCGAGGACUGGAUGCGUCCGUCAGGUUGUAUCCGGCUCACGCUGGUUCAUCCCGACCCAUAUAUAUCCGUCUCUAUCUCCAACCUGGACGAAACCCUAGCUACUCCACCCCUCUUCUUAGCUCCGUUCCGAUGAUCUCCAGCCAUCUCCGACAUUACAGGCAGCGUCCGACACGGAGUUGGGAUCUCGCCCCAUGCGGGGAUGAGGAGGACAUGGCCGUCCGGCCGGCACUUCGCCGCCCCCGGAAGGAGUGCGCUCGACCACGGUUGGACUCUAUCCGGCAAAAACCCAUGGUGUCCGUUCAAAUCUCGCUUGGAUCCGCAGGGAUGAUGGCUCGAGGCGUCCGGGCGCGGCCUUGCCGGACGCGGUGACCACCAUAAUAUUCUAACUCCGGGAUGGCGAUGCAACCCCUCCGGUUGCGCAUCAUCCCUAACAUGGAGCGGCGUACGCCGUCGUGCGAGGCAUAGGACGCGGGGGCGAGGUGUAGAUGCUCUAACCGCAUCUGGAUGAGAUCACAUCGAUUGAUGAUGUCCGGAUAAACGAGUCUCCUCAGAUCAAAACCGUGUAAUAAUCCUACAAAAUAAAGACAUCGCCCAACGUGUUCCAGAACGCUCUGAAUGAGACCCCGCGAAUGGCAACAACCAUACCAUUUAUGAGCAAGUUUUGUCAGUCCCCCCACCCGGCCAGCCCGUGACAUCGAUGUAGCAGCUUCCGUUCCUAUUUAACCAGCGUACCAUUUGCACUACAUUGCAUCACAGCAAGCACACACACACACACACUCUCUAGAGAAAUGGCGAUGGCUAGGACGACGGCGCUCCUCCUCGUCGCCGCGGCUCUCCUGGCGGCCUCAUCCAGCGCAUGGGAGGUGAACAUCCAGAUGCCGGCGUCGGCGGCCGUGGACGAUGCUGUGGCACCGCUCAUCCACGCGCUGCGGCCGCUCCUGGGCUCCGGCAAGCAAGCCGGCGUGGCGUGCGAUAGCUGGCGGCUGGGCGUGGAGGCGCACAACGUGCGGGACUGGAAGACGGUGCCCGCCAGCUGCGAGGAUUACGUCGGCCACUACAUGGUCGGCGACCACUACCGCCGGGACUCCAAGGUCGUCAUCGACCAGGCCAUCGCCUACGUCGACUCCCUCAAGCUCGCCGGCAACGGCAAGGAGGUCUGGGUCUUCGACGUCGACGAGACCACCCUCUCCAACCUCCCCUACUACGCCAAGCACGGCUUCGGGUACGU